Molecule: long non-coding RNA, 65290 nt
Filed under: Phaseolus vulgaris (common bean)
Lineage: Eukaryota; Viridiplantae; Streptophyta; Magnoliopsida; Fabales; Fabaceae
Description: long non-coding RNA (PVUL_LNC001912)
Source: RNAcentral
AAUAUCAGUGUUUAAAAAACAUCUAAAUAUUAAUGGAAACUAAUAUUUACAUAUUUAAUUAUACUAGACUACUACAAGUAAGGAAAGUGAAACAACAUAAAAAUUGAACACCUCAAGGUCUAACAAAAUAAAGUAACGUAAAUAUAUAUAAACAUGUUUUAAAUAUGCAGGGAACUACAUGCAUUUAAAUAACACACAUCUAGUAUUUAUAAAAAAAAAUUAAUAUUAACAAUGUCAAGCUUCUAUAGUAAACCAUACAUCAUGCUUGCUACUUUGAGAGUUGAAGGUUCUUGCACCUAACAUCAAUCUAACAAAAGUUUUUGCUUCUAUUGGACUUUAUCAGAACUUGUAUCCUCCAACCACUUGUAUCCCUUACAAUCGUUGUAGGAGUUGGCCAAAUCAUUGCAACAAUUUAUUGUUGUGUACAAGAUAGAAAGAAUAACUUUGGACAAAAUUACAGAAGGACAUGUCGCAUUCUUCAUUUUUAUUCAACCAGACGUGGAGAGCAAGUUAUUUACAAAAGGCCAUAUGAAAUGGAUGCAAUGCAAGUAUAUGAUUUUGUUUUUUUGUUGAAAGUGUGAUGAAAAUAAUAGUUGGUUGUGGAUUGGAAAUAUUUAUCUGGCCGUGGAGCGAGAUGAUCGGCUACUUGGACUUGUGCGAUUACCCCUAAAUAGGGCCUCCAGGUGCCGGAUGCAUCCAGGAGCUCCAAUCUGUAUUAUCAUAACAAAGAAAAUAUCAAACCUUGUAAAAUAAAGAAUCAGAAAUAACCAUAUCGAACAAUAUCCACACUUUUGACAAGGGCAUUCCACUAGCCAGAUGGGUAAAAAACAGUCAGACAGCAGUUAAGAAAUGCAUACUAUUUAUCUUUUUUGAUUAUGAAUGCUGCAUGAAGCCCAAGAAAAGACCGUGGACUAUUGGAAUCAUACGAUGGAAACCAUCUCCAAAAGAUUAUGAACCAAAAAUAAAUUCUACAGAAUGGGUAUUCCUCGGGAUGGAAAAAUAGGAAAAGGAUCAGCCAAAUACUAUUAGUCAUCUUUUUGGGCAGGUUUUAAACAUUUCAUAGUUUCCUUUAUUUUUUUGCUUAACUUGGUUGUUCUCAAACUCCGCUUAAAGACCUCAUUUGUAUUGAACAUGUUUCCUAAUUUAUUCUUUUGAAGGAAAUAUCCUAUUCAAUGCAUAUUUCACUCUCUAGCAAAAUAACGUUAGUAUAAACUAUUGAAAAGGUGAUAUUAAUAAAUGUACAAUUUGAAUCCAUGAUCUUACUCUCCAUUCUCCACUCUUCUUUAAGGGGAUUAAUGGUAAAUGCAGAGGAAUAAAUUAAAACCUAGCCACAAUAUUGACAUCAAUCAUUUUUAAUGGUGCCCAUACCAUACUGGCUACUAAAUCACAGAUGCUCAUUGCUAAUAUCCAAUGAUACAGGAAAAGUCUUUGAAGCUGAACUUCCUCACAUUCUGAUAAGUUUUAGUGUCAAAAGUUACUAUCAUGUCAAAAUUAUACUACCACAACUAGGUCUAAAACUGAUCAAAUAAAUGUUUGCACGAAAAAGGGAUACCUUCCAGCGCCUCUUUUGAAUAAGAUGGUUGUUGAUUUCUUCCAAUCUACCAAUUAUUUGCCUAAAUGUUGGUCUUCUGUGUGGUUUUUCAUCCCAGCAUUCCUCAAUUAACCUAUGGACAAAUCAGAUUUCCUGAAUGUAAAAAACUUAUUCCUUUAUUCUCCUACUUUUGGUAGGUUUUGAAACUAAACAUUCAAAUCUGCUGCCAAUAAAAUGUAUUUAAAAUUCUCACUGUUUUAGUCCAUGAGCAUAAAGCUUUGGCAAUGCACUAAAUGGUGGCCGCUCAUUUUCAACAUACGCUUUUGGAACUUCGUUUUCUGGCUUUGCAUAGAACGGUGGACAACCUUCAAUCAUCUACAGGAACAGAAAACCACAGAAGUUCUGGUCAGUAUUUUGCUGGGCAUCUCUACAUAAGAACCCACUGUUCGCAGUCAUUUAUAUUCUAGAUUACAAAUUGCCCAUGAUCCACAAAUAAAAUAACUGUAUUCUGAAGUUUAUCAGUAAAACAGUUGGAGAAAAUGAAUAUUUUGUAUUCACAUAAAAAGUACAAGAACCAAGCAUAUUGGUACAACAGAAAACUAUUAGGCAUGGCAUCUUACCAAGAUGAUCAUGAUAUAAAUGUAUAAUUUUUUUUAUAUUUUUACAAGUCAAUCGUGGAUAGCUCAAAUCUCUAGAACUUAACUUGUCUGUUAGAUCAACCAUAAAACAUGCAAUAAAACAUUGCAUGUCUACAUAAGAACCCACUGUUCGCUGUCAUUUAUAUUCUAGAUUACAAAUUGCCCAUGAUCCACAAAUAAAAUAACUGUAUUCUGAAGUUUAUCAGUAAAACAGUUGGAGAAAAUGAAUAUUUUGUAUUCACAUAAAAAGUACAAGAACCAAGCAUAUUGGUACAACAGCAAACUAUUAGGCAUGGCAUCUUACCAAGAUGAUCAUGAUAUAAAUGUAUAAUUUUUUUUAUAUUUUUACAAGUCAAUCGUGGAUAGCUCAAAUCUCUAGAACUCAACUUGUCUGUUAGAUCAACCAUAAAACAUGCAAUAAAACAUUGCAUGUCACGAUUAUAUACAUAUCUUGAGGUAGAUCUGAGGGCCAAAAUACGCAGAGCUCUCAAGAGUCACGAGUGCUUGAGCUGUCCAUGAACUCAUCCUAUAGUAUACUUGAUAAGUGAAAGAGUAAAAGACAGACACCACCAAAUAUCUAAAAUUGAAUAUGCUGUGACAACACUGAAGGAAUUUGAAUGAUGAAAGCAACAUAGGAGGCACAGCAACAAAUGAUACACCUAUAAAAGCAUUAUUUUCCAGGACUAAAAAGCUCUAAAAUAAGGGGGAGGGGGGGGGGGGGGGGGCUGCAUCCAAAGGUGAGCGAUAAUGAUUUUACCUCCUGUAAUAUCAGAGCAAAAGAAAACACAUCCACUUUUGUGUCGUAUUCCUCAUUUCUAUAGACUUCUGGUGCAACAUAUCGCCCUGUUACAGAGUUGAAUAAAUUCAUCAAUUGAAUCCAUGAAAAUCAGAACCAAUCACAAUAGGAUCAAAACGAAUUGAAUUAUAAAGUAAAGAGAUGGCGAUACGUAUAAAUUAAUUAAUAAAUUCAAAUUAGUAAAACCGAGCCCUAGAUCUUUAUUAGUCACUGAGUAGACGGGCAUUUCUUUUUUCCUUAUAGAAUAAACACAAGUUUACAAUAUUGGUUUUAUGCAGAACAUGAUUAACGAUAGACAUUACAGGACUCCACUGUAGAAGAAAACCUACAUGAUGUAUCGAGGCUUGUCAUAGGUCUGUCUUCUUUGACUGUUUUAGUAACUUUAAGCAACUUGCUAACUCCAAAGUCUGCAACUUUCAGAUGCCCAGAAUCAUCCCGCAAAAUAUUUCUGUUGUCUUACUCAAGUACAAUGAAGAAACUUUAAACAGUUUCAAUUCGAUCAUUCAAGGAAUGAAUGAAAAAUGCAUGCUUCUACUGAAAAAUGCAUGACACUUCAUACACAUGGUGGAAGAAUAAUAAAAUCAACUAGACAGGGUAGGAGAGCAUAAAACAUACGAAGGCUCAAGAUCUCGGUGUAUAAUGGCUUCUGGUUUAUGUUCGUGCAAAUAGUUCAUACCCCUGAAAAUAAAACGUAUUGCACUGAUCACAAAUAUUCAAAUGCAUUUUUUUAAUAUAGGAGAAAUUUUUCAUUUAAUAUUGAACUCUUCAAAAAUAAAAUAACCAGGAAAGCUUGUUUCCUCAAGAACCAACUGAGAGCAGGUGAUGCACGCAUGAUAUGAAAGCUCUUGACUGACCUAGCAAUAUCAAGUGCAAAUUUUACAGCUGUUACUGGUUUUAAUGCACCUUUCCGCUUAAUGUAGGCAUGAAGAUCCCCCUGGAGAGAUGAUAGUUCAUUCCAAAUUGUUAGAUAUUACAUUUAUACAAGAUACAUGGUAUAAUUAGCCACACGUACGUACAUAAGUAUAGGAGAUACCUAAUUAUGUACACAUCUCAUUUUUUUCACUGUUUCACUAACAUGAAGUAGAAUCUCAUAUAAGGAGAAAUGAAAAUCUAAAUCAACAGUUAUCAGUACUAGGUCAAAACAGGUAUCUCUUAUCAUUACAUAAGAUCUUUCAGUGUAGAUACUUUUAACUUUCUAGACCGAACAGGAGCACAUUUGUCAGACUGGAUUCAGUGCCUCUAAAGUGAGAAGAUAAUUAAAGUAAGAAAGUGACUAUCUAUUCAUCAUCAACUUGUAUUACAUUGACUUUCAAUAAACCGUAGAUAAUCCCCAACUUCUACACUUUACACACCUCCUUACUUUAGAGGCCAAAUCAUGUCUGGCCAAUGCAAAUAACCCAUGCACGUCGCAAUUAAUAUCAGUCCCAGGGUAAAUUUUUUAUCAUAUUAAGUUCUUAAGUAUUAUUGAUUAUUUGUGCACUCCUACAUAAUAUUGGAUUUUGAGUAGUCCAAUUGAAACUACAUUGUCACUUUGUUUCGGAAGACUAUCCAUAAUGAUAAAUUUCUGACCACAUUGUAUUCAGCUCACUGAUAUAUAAGAUAACCAUUAGCCAACUAAUCAAUAUAAUUUGUUCAUAAACACCAUGAGCAAAAUAUUUAUGAGAAAAAACCUUCCUUAUGGCCAUUGUAUGACCAAAACUAACCUGGGGUAGAUAUUCUGUGACGAUCAUCAUUGGGGUACUUUGGGUUACAGCACCCAAAAACUGAACUACAUUUGGAUGCCUUAUUUUCUCAAGUAAUGUAAGCUCAUCAUGAAAUGCCUUUCUGAUAAACAGACACCAACAAACAAAAUCCAUGGUGAGAUUAAAAAGUGAUAACUGAAUGAUCCAAUUGACAUGAAUAAGUAGACCAACCCACACUUUAUCAUCAUCGGUGAACACUUCCUCUCCAAGUGUCUUGACUGCAACCUCAGUUCCACGCCAUAAAGCAAUCCGGAAAGUUCCCUAAAAUAUUCAAUAUAAAUGAUGAAACACAAAAUAAGCUAAGGUAUAUUGACUUAAGAAAUUAUGUCAAAAGGCAAAAGGAUAAAUCCAGUUACAAGACACAAUUAAAUGCAGCGAGAAGGAAACUUGAAACCUUACCUUUGUUAUGCAAACACUAUUAGUAAAAUCAAGUUCAGAAGGAUCAAUCUCAUACUCUGGGACUUCUCGAGCAUUCUCCACAUGCAUGGGAGUUAUCUACAAUAAAAAAGAAGUUUGUCAUCGCAAUGUGAUGUCAUAAACCAACUAUUCUAAAAGGAGUUAUCAGUAUAAUAAAACUUACGCUGCCAAGCAAUAAGAAAUCAGUAUAAACCUUUAAUGUAAGUCAACCGAAUCGUAUUUAGGAGUUUAUACACUGUCAGAACAUAUACUGAUUUCUCUUCAAAAAGCUUGGCUGCAAGACCCCUUGGAGCUGAAAUAAAAUAUACUCAGACGAGGAAUGAAUCCUUUAAGACUGGGAUUUCCACUGAUAUUCUCUCCGGCGAAAAUCUCCAUUAUCAAAACCCGAUGUCCACAUUUUCAUUAUUUAAAUUCUCUCACUAUGCUCUUGUCUUUUAAUUAAGGAUUCGGACUUCACUGAACAGUUUAAACUUUUCUAUUGUUAUCCAGUCACCAAGACAGAUAUGCAUGUUAAUUAUGUUUCACUUUUAUAAUAACUAUCUUAAAAGUCUAUCCGAAGAUAAUUUUUCCAGUAAAAAAGUGCGUCUCAACUAAACUCUCCAGACGAAUAACGUAAACUGUUUUAAAUCUAACAACAAGAAGGAAAGGAAAAGAAGAGACAGACCGGAGGUUUUGCACCGUGCUUCUCCAAAAGCCUCACGACGUCGUGGUUUUUGUAGUACAUUGCAUCAGCUAGCGGCUGAAACAAUCCAAUCCAAUCCAAAAAUCAGUGACAGCGAGUGUACAAGACGAAUAACAAAAGAGGAAGGAAGUGAAAUUACGGUGCUGCCCCAGCGGUCUCGCGGAUCAACGUCGGCUCCACGUAGUAGCAGCAGGUCAACAACGUCGGUGCGGCCUUGGCAGGCGGCGACGUGGAGCGCAGUGCGGCCGUCAAUGUCGGUGAAAUUGACGUCGCUCCCCGCGUCCAACAGCUCCUCAAUCCCGACCAAGUCUCCUUCGUUGGCCAGAUACAUCAACCGAACCGUCGGAUCCAGCGCCUCCGACACGUCCUCCGCACCGUCGCGCUCCGGCGCGAGGGAGGAUUGGCGGCCGAGCGAGAAGCGAAGCUGAAGCUUCUUAGUUUCCAUUGGCGAGGGUUUUGGGAGAGAGAGAGAGAGAAAAUGGAAUUGUGUUGUUGUGUGAAUGUGUUCGCAGAUAAACAAUAAGAAUAUGAAUGAAUAUGAAUAUGAAUGAUUCUGCUUAAAUAGUUUUGAAGAGAGGGUUGGGAUUGGAUCGGAUUCUUGACGUCACUGUCUUUUUACACAAUCCAGCUAGUGACAGUGGGGAAGAAACAACGUCGGUUUUUUGUUAUAAUGCUUAAAAAAUAUAUUAUAUAUAUACAACUAAUUAAUAGAUAAUUUUAAGUAAUAAUUAGUCAGAAAUUAAACCUGACGUUUAAUAUUUUAAAAUUUAUAGGAUUGCUAUGAACGGCUAUUUUGGUUCAGUUGACUUUUUAAGGGGAUUUUCUUUAAUAUUUUUUAAGUUGACUUUUUAAAUAAUACUCUAUUUUCAUUCUCAAUGAAAGUUGAGUUUAAGUAGUUGUUUGAUAAAAAGAAAUCGAGAGUUGAUAUUUUAACUAAAGGAUUAGUAUUUUUUAUUUUAAUGAUAUUUUCUUAUUUUUAUAUUUCAGUAUAAAAUAGUUCCAAAAAGUAUAUUAGAUAUUCCUAUAAUGAGUGAAGAUAAUAUAAAUUAUAUAUUAAUAUUAUAAAUUAUUGUUAUACCGAUAGAGAUUAACACUUUGAUUCGGUAUUCGAAUUAUGAAAACCAAAAUCGUUAUACUUAAACUGGAUUAACCAGGUUUAUAUUUAUUAAGGAAUCACUUAGUUUCAAUUUCGUUUUUAAUAAUUACAUAAUUUUUAUUUAAAUAAAAAUGUUUAAUAAAAACAUAUUUUAUGAUAAUAUUGAACCUAAAUGAUAAUUUAAUAUUUAAUAUAUAUUUAUAUAUAUAAUUAAUUGUGUUUUACAUUAAAUAUUCACUAAGUGCCUCACUGGUAACAAAAUUAAUUAUGCCUCUAAUUAUCCUCUUUAUGAGAUUCACACAUCCUCCUCCUCCUUCAUGUGUUACUCUCGAAUUUCCCUUUAAUAAACUGGACAAAAAUAAAUAAAUUUAAAGGUUGAGAUAAAUAUGAAAAGUUGAGAUAUGUAUGAAAAUAGUGAAUAUUAUGGAAGAGAAAUAAAAUUAGUAGUGUAGGAAAAAAAUGAAUUUUAUGAAAAAGAAAAAAAAAUCGAAUAAAAUUCACUAUCACGUUUAUUUUAAAAUAACGAUUUUUAUUUUAAAUUACAAAUAUUUUUAUAUUUCUUUUAAAUUAAAAUAGAUUACAAUGUUUUAUUUAAUAUGUUUAUAGUUUUGUUAAAAUAAAUAAAAUGUAUUUCAUUUUUAAAAAAAUAUUAUUUCAUUUAGUAUAUAUAUAUAUAUACACACACAAGUAUAUAUUUUAAUUUUAUCAUUUUUUAUGUUUAUUUUUAAAUUAUUGUUUAUUAAUUUUAUUUAAGAUUUUAAUUAUUAUGCAGAUAAAAUUUGAUGUUGAAAAUUAUAUUAGAUUUAUUUUACUAAUGUUUUGAAUUAUAUUUUUGAAGAUAUAAUAAAAAUUCAAUCAAUUUUUUUUGUAAUGGUUUUAUUAUCAAAUUAUUAUUAUUAUUAUUAACUAGAUAUUUUGUUUAUAUUCUACGUUUUAAACACUCAACAUCGCACACUGUUAUAAUACAUUCGUUUCAUCUAUUUUUUAUUUAUUUCUAACCACAGUAUUACUUUUGAUCUUAAAAUACUAACUUAAAUAUUAAUGUAAUGUUUUUAAUAAUGUUAUAAUUGUUGAGUUGAUAACUUUGUUAACGUGUUAUGUGAUUAAUGAAAUUAAGUUUUAAUUUUUUUUACAAGAAACAAAUUAAAAAGGAGAAAAUUAAGUAAAAAAAAACUAAAAAGACUAAAGAUUUAAUUAAGUUAAUAAAUUAAAAUUAAUAAAAACAAACCCGUUUUUAUCAAUCGGGUCAAAACAGGAGCCCCGAGAAAUUCCACAACCAUGGAUCUACCUAGCUGAAGGGUUGAGGAAAGAGAAGAAGAUUUUGAGCGCGGAACCACUGCAAUGGCCAUGGCUUCCAACCAUCUCCGAAACUUGACUCGCAUCUCCGUCCACCGCAUUCUCCAUCACCGUUUUCAAUCUCUCCUCAACGCUGCUAGGUUUUUCUCCGAUGCUGCUUCUUCAGUGCCUCAACCGCAACCUAAUCAGCAAUCUUCGCCUCCCUCGUCUUUGAAGGAUUAUGAACUCGCCAAGUUCGCUGCAAUUGCUGAUUCCUGGUGAGCUUUCAAACUGAAAGAGAGAAUCUGUUCAAUGAAUAUAUCGUUACAGACACUACACAGCAUUGAAUUGUACAAUUUUUUUCAAGGGGCGAAUUUGUUUAAUAUAUAUUGAUGUUGCUGCUGCCGUGUGCAUAGUUUUUCUGCGUAUUUGUGUUAGUUUGGGAAUACGGAUGACAUGUAUUUGCUCUAUGUCAAUAGGUGGGAUUCUGAAGGCCCCUUUAAGCCAUUGCAUGUGAUGAAUCCUACAAGACUUGCUUUCAUCCGUUCUGCACUAUGUCGACAUUUUAAGUAAGUCUCCUCUUUCUUUUAGUCCUUGUUAGCUCCAUUUUUUGAGUUUGGAGUGUUUAUUCUUGAAGCUACUUUGGUUAAAUGUGCAAUGAUCUGUACUAUGCUUAUGAUCUAUUGACUUUAUGCAUUAUUCUUAUAGCAUUGCCAUUUGUGCGGCUGUUAUAACUUAUUAAUCCAAUGGUAGCACGCAGCAUUUGCCACACAUACAUAUUAUAAAUUUGGUUUAGUAUUCCUUUAAUUAAAUAUAAUCUCACGAGGACGCGUAAUGAAGUAUUUGUUAGUAAAAAAAGUGACAACUGAAUUGGUUUUUGACACACCAAAGACGAACCAGCAAGAAAAACGAAAGAAGAAAGUUAUUGUUAACGAUAGGUUUAUAUUUUAAUUUUGUCUCUUUGAACUUCUAUUUUAAUGAUAAUUGGGUUUCCCUUGUCUCAGGAAGGACCCUUAUAGUGCUAAACCUCUUGAAGGACUUAAAAUUGCUGAUGUUGGUUGUGGAGGUGGAAUUCUUUCUGAGGUAUAUCUAUUCUCCUAUUUGUUGUGAUUUCUGGAAAAGACCUUUGCCUUUUUUUGUCUCCUGGCCUACGAUAAACCAAUACUGGUUUAAUCAGUUCAGACUUCAGAGAUGACUAUAUUUGUUAACCAGAAACUUGGAAAUCUAAAUUUGGUAACUGUGUUACUUUUAUCCAAAUCCUUGUUGCGGGAGUCUGUAGCAAUAUGAUGGAUUCUGAGGUGACUGACUAUAUUUGUUAGCUAGAAUUUUGGAAAUCUGAAUUCUUUCUUCGGUGCACAUUGUCCCCCCCCCCUCUAAACUUGUAGAGUAUUAAGGUUAAGAUUGUUAUUUGUUUUUCAUUGCAAAUUUUAUGCUGUUUUUAUGGUUGUUUUAUGAUUUAUAACUUUGUUUCUCUUUUGUUCUUCAGCCACUAGCUCGAUUGGGAGCUACUGUGACGGGUGUUGAUGCUGUUGAGAAGAAUAUCAAGAUUGCUCAACUUCAUGCUGUAUGUUUAACUGGCCAAUUGAUAUCUUGCAUUCGGUAUCUCCAACUUUAAAUUUGUCAGUACUUUCCUCCAAGUUGAUUAGGUUAUUGUUCAUUGGUGGAAGCAGCUGAUAACUUUACAUCUUCAGAUUCUUCACUAUUAGCUAGACAACUUAUUAUUUCCUGCAAACAGGGUUUGGAUCCAGUAACUUCAACUAUUGAAUUUUGUUGCACCACGGCCGGUACAUAUGCAAAUCUUGAAGCAUUCCUGUAUACUAUUGUUUUACAUCCAUGAUUUGCAUGCUUCAAGUCCUUUACAUCCAUGGAUUGCAGACCUUUGUUGGAUAUGAUGCAUUAGCAUAAAAACCUUAAAUAUUUGCACUUCCUACUGGCCUUUGUUAUUGGGCUUCGUCAUUUGUUGUUAUUCAUGCAGCUUGCAGAAAGUAACCAUUUUUUGUUAUUUAUUUUAACUUAUCUUUGGCUGUAGAAAAAUCAAUUUUUUGCUUUGGUCUUAUUUCCUCCCAUUAGUAUCUUGUAUUGAAGAAAGUUUUUUAUCUUUCCCUUGACGUUUCUCAUGAAACAAGGCGUCAACCUGAACAUACUAAACCGCUACAGGAACUUAUUACUUCAUCCUCUACAAUAAAGAAUAGUAGUUUUCAGUGGCGGUGUCCAUUCAAUUUCUUUGCUUGCAAUUAGGUAUCAUGCUUGUAAAAAAUUAAAUGUUCUUUGUACGUAGGAGCAUGCAUGAUGCCUCCAGUAAUCUUUGUAAAAGUAGGUUGCAUUCAUCUGGUUCGUUUGUAAUUGUCCUUAUGUUUUUGGGUAUUAUGCACUCAACAAUUUUUAAAUUUAUUGAUCAGAGAAACUAGUUGAAGAAGGAAGAACAUUCGAUGCCGUUAUGGCCUUGGAGGUACUCUCUCAUUCGUGCCCCUUCCUAGCUCUGGCUGUGUGCGUGCAUAAAUGUGUUUUUGAUAUAUAAAGAAACGAUGCGCGUAUCAUAUUGUUGCAUGAAUCUUUGAUAGUAGUAUACAAGUGGCGUUGGUUCAUUUGGUUCGAAUUUGUUCAGGUGAUUGAGCACGUGGCAAAUCCUGCAGAUUUUUGCAGAUCUCUUUCAGCACUAACAGUUCCCAAUGGCGCCACCGUGAUAUCCACCAUUAAUCGUUCUAUGAGAGCCUACGCAACUGCCAUUGUUGCUGCAGAAUACAUUCUCCGCUGGGUAUUUAUCAUUCUCAACUUCCUUCCAUGCUUAUUCCGUCAUACAAAACUCUUUGAUGCUUCAAUUCAAUUGACAUACUAUAUAUAUAUUGAACUCGCGUUUGAAACAGCUUCCGAGAGGCACUCAUCAAUGGUCCAGUUUUCUGACGCCAGAGGAACUCGUCCUCAUCUUGCAACGCGCCGGUAUCAAUGUACGUACACGAAAGGAAUUCAUAAGUCAUAAAUCAUAAACCAUAAACAAUUUCAUUUGCUAGGUUUUAUUCAUCGCAUGCUUCAUAUGUUGCAUUGCACACACAGGUGGAGGAGAUGGCCGGAUUUGUGUACAACCCGGUGACAGGACGGUGGUCUUUAUCAGACGAUAUCAGCGUAAAUUUCAUCGCCUUCGCCACCAAAUCAAACAGCACCGAAUAGCAUAAUAGAUAUAUAGAUAAAAUACGCAUUACUAUUAUCACUGUUAUAUUAUUAUAAUUGAAAUUGUUUUUGAAUGGCCAAUAAUGAUAAUAAUCAGGGAGUGGAGGGGGAGAGUUUCCUGAGAGUGAUGGAGGUGCGUUUAGAUUGAGUCAAGUGUCGACCCUGCCAUAUCUGAAACUCCGGUGAGCGGUUAAUUUCGUGUUUCCAACGGUAGCGUGCUUCUCCGGACAUGAGAAUCAAGGAGCCAGGGGUGAGGAGAACGGGGACGGAGAGGGAGGCGUUGGUGAAGUGCAUGACGCAGUCGGACUCGAGGGAGAGGAUGGCGAUGCCGUCGUCGAAGCGGAGGAGGUCGACGUGGGCGCAGAUGCCUUCGCCGGGCUGGUAGACGUUGGCGAUCAUCUGGUCAAAGAGGGGUUCUCUGUGGAGGAGGUGGGGCGGGAAGGGGGGUGGGUUAUGGGCCUGGCGGCGGAUGGAGCGGCGAAUGGAGUGGGCCAGAGGAGGGGCCCAAGAAGGGAGGUGUUGGAGGCCGAAGCGCAUGGCCUGGUUGACGGAGGGAGAGGGGAACCAGUUCUGGGAUUGGAUGGAUGCGAGUAUGUGGGAUUGGCGGCGUGGAGAGAGGAAAUUGGAACAGAGCCAUAGACCCUUCACUUCUGAGAUUGAGUCCCACUCCCUUUCUCCGUCGCUGUAGCCAUCACUGGAAUCAGAUUCGUCGGAAGAAGACGACCCGAAGACUUGUUCCAACACUGUCUUCUCCUCCUCCUCUUUCAUCUUUCUUUCUUCCAUUUCUCUUCUCUUCUCACUUCCUGCACAUUAAUUCUUCUUCCCUCCUUCCUCUGCAACACUCUCCUCACCUUUUUUUUUCUUCGGCCCAUGCCUUGAAAGUACAAAUUUUUGCUUUGAUGGGCUGACCCAGCCCAGUUUUUUGGUCUGAACCAAAAGAAGGGUAUUUCUUCCUGCACCCCAUACUUUUCUUCCGGCACCCCAUACUUUUCUUCCUGCACCCCACACUGUUGAAUCCUUACAGAAACAAUCACGUAUUAGAACAGUCAUUUGGAUGUUUCUUCCUGCACCUCUACACUUUUCUUCUUGCACCCUUACAUUCUUCAAAAAUACCAAAUUUAGAUUUACAGAUUUAGAUGUUUUCGAAAUAGUGAUUCCGUAAGCAAAAAAUAAUUUCAGAAUAGAAAAUCUGAAAAACAAAAAAUCAUUUCGGAACACAUUUUUAUUUAUUUCCAGAUUUAUAAAUUCGGAAUUCAUAAAAGAUGUUCUGAAAAUAUUUUGGAAAGAACAAUUUGGAAAUCAUUUUUUAAAGGGGCAAACAGUUUUUUCUGAAAGUGAAGGAAGAAAUUUGUAGAGAUGCAGGAAGAAGUUGUCCAGUCAUUUUGAGCUAACUAGUAAACCAUGCUUAUAAAAAAAGAGAAAUCAUUUUAAGUUUUUUCCCUCGAACAUAAGUUCUUUAGGUUAUUUUUAAACUAUCAAAUAAAAUAAUUAUAUUUGAUUGAAUUACAAGUUAUUAACUACUAAAUUUUACUAUUUCGAGUAAAUUAUUAAGAUAUUUCUUAGAGACUUAUUUUCAAAUUAAAGUUAUACUGUUUGAUUUUUUCAUCAUUACAAUGAAUUUUUUAGGUGUAAAUGCAAUAUUUUUAAAUCUUAAAUGAAUACACGUGUAAGAAAACAGGGGUGGUCAUGUUUUUAAAACAAACGAGAUAUUUGUAAAUAAUUUUAAGAAAACUUAGGUAUCACUGUAAUAUUUUUAAAAUAAAAAGUUUCAAUUAAUAUUAAAUAUAAAUGUAAUAUUAUAAAUUACCAGGCAAAGAAAAUAUCCUCAUAAAGAAAUGUAAAAAACAAUAAAAAUAUCUCCCCAACCUUAUUUAUUAAUUAAGAGUUUAAUUCAACACAUUUAAAGUUUUAUUUGCAUUUUCACUUUGAAUAUAGCUUUUUGUACACAACAACUUAUAUACUCACUUUCGUAUCACUGUAUUUUAAUUAAAGUCGUUAUAUUUAAAUUUAACUAAAAUAUACUCAUAUUUUAAAGCGUCACUUCAUUAAUACAACUAACAUUAUGUUUUGGUUUAACGUAUUAAUCUGUUCCACCAUUAUUAAAUUGGUUUAGAUUUUGUUCCAUUUUUAAAAAAAUUCUUAGUUAAGCCAUUCUUUUUCGGACUGUUUCUUCCUGCACCUCCAUAUCUUCUUUUGGCACCUCCAUACACAACAUGAAAAUACAUUUUUAUCCUUCUUGUGCCAUCCCCAUAGAAUAACUUCCGGAUUAUGUAAUCCAGAAACGCAUUUGAAAAAAGACUUCCGGAUUACAUAAUCCGGAAGUUAAAAAAGACUUCCAGAUUAUGUAAUCCGGAAAGUAAUCAUGCAUCUGAAAAUAGACUUCCGGAUUAUAUAAUCCGGAAGCUAAUUACAAAUUUGAAAAAUGACUUCCAGAUUAUGUAAUCCAGAAUAUUACAGAGGGGCAUUUUUGGAAAUACAAAAAUCUAUGGAGGUGAGAGAAGAAGGUAUGGAGGUGCAGGAAGAAGCAGCCUCUUUUUCGUCUUGGACUUAUCAAUGCCCUUCAUGGCCACUAGAAACAGACCGACACCGAUAUGACCAUUGUAACCCGCACAUCGAGAAAUAUAAAGAUAUUUAUUUUGAGGUAUUCUUUAAAAUUACUUGAUAAACUAAUCCAAAUAUAAAUCCAACUCAGUUCAAUUAAUUUAACAGUGAUUUAGACGAAGAUAACAGUCAUAAUUGUUAGUUUUCUUUGUCUAUGGAAAUGGAUCAUAUCAUGGGUAAAUUAUUCAAAACAUUUUAACAAUAAAAAGAAAUAUAGUUGAUUCUCCCUGCAGCAUAUGAAUUCCAAUUUGCAUCCUAACACACUGCCCGUGAAAAGUUUGUUUUACCGUACGUUAAACCAAGUUUUGAAUAUACAAGUUUAAAAUUAAUGUCAUUUUUGGAUUUAACCAUUCAGAAGUUUAUCUGGAUAGUAUAAAUGACCUUUUGGAUAUCAAGAUUCCUAAGUAAAUAUAAAUUAAUUUUGGAUCCUGAUUCUCAGUACCAUUUACAGCACACUAUUUCGGAAUGAAAAUCCAAAACUCAUAACUCACUUCUGGAUAUGGCUAUCUAAAAGCUUAAAUGAAAUACGAAAAUAACCUUUCAGAUAUCUAAAUUCAGAGUAUAUAACAAUUAUUUCUGAAUUUCUGCAUUCGUAAAUAAAUAUAAAGUCAAGGACAAUGUUGAAUUUUAAAUUUUAUAUUGGAUGCAUGAUAUAGUCCAGAGAGAAAUUGCCAAGAAAUAUUAGUAAUAUACUCUUUAACAUGCAUUCUUGACACUUUUUAUCAUCAACUAAAACUUAUUAGAAAACAUGAAAUUUUGUGGGUCUCUGCAGCUUACUUGAUGAGUUUCACAUAUGAUUUGUAGUUCUUAAGACAUUUUAAGCAAUAAAUAGUGGAUUAAAAAAGAGUUUAUUAGAAACUGUUAUGCUAGAAAUCCUCAUAUGUCAAUGAAAAUUAUAGCUAACCCUAAAUUAAGGCAGACCAAAUUCGAUUAGUCGUAGGUACAUAACCACAGCUUCAAAUCAUAGCACUCCAAAUUUCUUGGGCACAUGAUAAAACUUUUUACACAGUUAUUAAAAAAAAAUUAUCUUGUAUUGAAAUAUGUGAGGGUAGGAAACUAGUUUGACUUGUCUGAUCCAUCUGAAUUAACUGUUACAAGACGAUAGCUCUUUUCUGUUUCAACAUGAGAGCCAGAGGAAUCAGUAUACACACUAGGUAUUGACAUGCUAUGUGUUCUACUAGGAUUCUGCCAGAAGUGAUUUCUUAUACUCUUGUAUUUGGAACUGGAACUAAUAGCUGAAUAUCCCGGAUCAGAAAGCAGAUCCUGAAUAUCAGUCCAACCUUCAAGCAUGCUCACAGCUUGGGACAUUGUUGGUCUGAGUGUAGGAGAUGCAUUAGUACACAAGAGAGCCACAUUUAGCACCACCAUGGCCUCAUCACUUGAAUACUCUGAACCCAAAUCUGGGUCAACCAGCUCCAGAAGACUCCCUCUCUCUUGCAAAACAUAGGCCUGAACAAAACUCAAACUUCAGAUCAGGGUUACUCAAAUUUAUGAUAAAUUCAUAGUGAAGCUAUGAUGUGGCUGGAAACACAAACCAGCACAAAAAUGUGGAGUGGUAAAAUGCAGUUUGAUUAUCUAAAAGACUAUAGAUAACAUUUUAGAAAGUUCUCAAUAAAGGAAUGAUUGUAGCUAUGUGUGGGUGAACUAGUCUCUUUUGUUCGUAUGAACUCUUAUAUUACACAGUAAUUGGAUAUAUUAUGCAAUUUGAUUAUCUAAAGCCUAAUAUAACAUUUUGGCAAAGUUAUACGUUUGUGUGUGGGUGUGCAUGUGUCUGUAAAAGGAAAUAGUCUCAAUCUAACGAGAAAUAGUUCUCCAACUUUCUGAUUGUGAGGCUGUGAUUGCUAAGAUACUUUGUAAUUACCCAAUCAAGAAGAUAAACAAAAUCUUCGUUUGGCCUGAAAUUUGUAUUGCUCUUUCCGCUGACAGUUUCCAGUGCAACCACCCCAAAGCUAUAAACAUCUGCUUUGUCAGUUAGAUAGCCACGCAUUGCAUACUCAGGAGCCAUGUAACCACUACAAAAUGACAAGAAGCAUAACAAUGGAAAUUAGGACUACUGUCAUAGAGGAUUUAUAUUAUAAUUCUCUAAAGUGUGAUUCUCAUUUAGGCACACAGAAAAGUUCAGAUAAUGUAUAUAAUAUAUAUAAACUAUUCAAUGGCUUUCAUUGCUUAAUAUAUAAACAAAGUCUGUUUUCUAAUCAGAUUAUAAUAUCAGCACAUGAUAGAGUAUUUAUGUUUUCUUCCUACUUCCAAGCCAAAAAGACUUUUUGCAUUGAAGGGUGUGUUAAGUGAUAUAGAUCCUUCCCAAUACAGACUUUAUUUAUUUGUUUAACCAGACUAUUAUGAAAGUUGCAAUGCUAUAUUUUGACAUGAAAAGCAAGAGAAACAGCAGUAAAUUAUGGACUUACAUUGUUCCUGCUACUCGAGUGCUAAUAUGGGUUUUGUCAUCUUCAAUGAGUUUUGCCAAGCCAAAAUCUGAAACUUUAGCAUUGAAAUCCUUGUCGAGCAAUACAUUACUUGCCUUUAUAUCCCUAUGUAUGAUUUUUAUUCUGGACUCUUCAUGAAGAUAAGCCAAAGCUUUAGCUAUACCAAGACAAAUUUUCUUCCUUGUUGGCCAGUCUAGUUUUAUUCUGCUCUCUGGAUUCCUCCCUGCAUGCAUGCGAUUAGUGGAAGGACAAUCAAUUAGUUUCACAUGUUAACAAAGGAUAUGGAUACAAGGCUUCUACUAGGAAGCUAAUAUUAAUUUUGUCUUUUUUAAUUCUUAGUUGUUUCUUUUUGUAUUUAUGUUUAGUUUAGUCUUUAUUUUGGCUUUUCUUAUUCUAGUCUUUAUUGGUUUUUAUUUUACAUUAUGUUUCUUUAACUAGACCUAGAAUGAGUGUACUGUGUGUAUAUAUAUUCAGACUCUUUGCUUUGAUUUCAGUAAGAAAAAGAAAAUAGAAGAAAUAUUCCUUAUCAUAUCCUUUGCCUUCCUUCUUUCUCCUUUGUUUUAUCUCAGUUCUUUAUUUAUAAUACAUGUCAAAUGUUUGAUUCAAAGGGCAAGUAUGGCUAAACCUUAUUCAUCAUGAAGCUUACCAAAAAGAAUCCGUGAUAGACAAUUAUUUUCCAUAUACUCAUAUAUCAGUAUUAGCUGGUUCCCCUCCACACAACAUCCAUAAAGCUUAACAAGAUUUGAAUGUUGGAGUCCAGAUAUCAAUCCCAUCUCAUUCACAAACUCACGAUUUCCCUGUUUGGAUUUUGAAGACAGCUGCUUUACUGCUAUUAUUGUACCAUCUGAUAGUAGGCCCUGCAUCAUGAAGAAGGUCUUGCAUUACAGUGACAAUUACACAGAUACAAAUAUCAAACUGCUGAUUGGUCUAACAAAUCUCCAUUACACUUUGACCAGCAUGUAUGUGAACAAUUUUUCUUUUACUAACCAACCAAGGUUAUAUGCUUGAUCAUGAGUAUAAAAUCCACCACAGAAAUCAUGAUUGAGUUAUAAGCUUUGGAUUUAAAUUGAAUGGUGAUAUAGAGAGACUGAAGUGUGUCUUGUAUUUCAAAUCAAGUAACAAAUAAAUUAACCAUAAGGUGGAAUAGUUAACCGAGAAUAUAAACUUGAAGAAGACCAGAUACCUUGUAAACACAACCAAAGCCACCUUCGCCAAUUUUGUUUGCUGCAUCGAAGUUUUCGGUUGCUGCUUUGAUUUGUCUUAGUGUAAAUAAUCCUGUCUGCAGGUCUAUACCCCUAAGCUCUGAAAAAAAAAAUAUUAGAAAUUUGGAAUCUAGAAAAUUUGUAACUUUUAACUCGGAAAGGGUGAGUAAAAACGCAAACUCAAACGAGAUAACUCGCAAGUUUGAUAACCAUGUUCUUCACUAUAUCUACUUCCAAAGUUCUUUUUAUUUCUAGCUAGCAUAUAAAUAUAGUGUGUAAUUAUGCUCUCAAAAAGCCUUGACUUUAGUGAAAAAGGAAAAAUAUCAUCAAUAACAAAUCUUGUAUAGGAGUAAAUAAUUGUGCUUCAGUUUUAUGGUAAUUGAAUAAAAUUUGCAGAAAUAUUUAUUUAAUACAAAUUGUUGAAGAAGCUCAGGCAAAUACUGCUGGAUAUAUAGAAAGGAUGUUUAUGUUGGAAAAAAUGGAAAUAUUUAUUCUAAGAGAAUAGGAAGAAUUAUGUGGCAUAUUCCAUACCUUUAUACACUGAAUCUUUGCCUCCUAACCAUCCCAUCCACCUCAUGAAAACCAGCCCCAGCAGUAGAAGAACUAAAACACCAGCCACUAUGCCAAUUGCCAGUAUGACAUAAGUUCUGUUUUCAUCCCUUGAUGGAGGUUUAAAAUCUGUGCAAGAGAAAAGUAUUUGUUUUAGCUUUUUUAGAAAUGAAGAACAAAACUCAUAGAACUAACUGGAUCUGAUAAAAGGAAAGAAUGAUGUAAUUUUCCUUAUAACAGAACUCUAGUGGAGGUCUACAGAUAAAAGGUUAUCUUUUCCAACAGUUUUUAAAUUCAUAAUGCCAUAUUAUGGUUUCAACUUCAGUCUCAUUAAGUCAGAUAAAGCACUAGCACUAAGAUGCAGGGUGUGACUUACUAGGGUUUACUGAAAUAGCAGAUACUAGAGGUCCAUAAACUCCUCUUGUGGGAAUGCCAGUGGUUCCUUUUCCAGCCCAGUAGAAGUGAAUCUUCAAAGUAUGUUGUGUGACAGUAGCAUUGAAUGUCUUCACAAUUGGCUUGCCAGUACCACCAGCUUCUCUUUGGAUAUCAAAGUCUUUCAGCACUAUAUUCCCCUUAAUUUAAGGACAUAAUAGUAUAUUCCAUUUACAUCAAUGCACAACUCUGAAUCAAUAAUUUAACAUCAUGUGAAAAUCAUGCAAGUAAGUAACUGUUACCUGGAUAUAGACAUCAAAUACCCGCUUUCCAAGACUAUUAAGUGACCUAUCAUUGAUGAAAAUAAUCUCUGCAAAGUGAAGCUUGAUUGUGUAAUUUCCAUUUAUUAGGCAGAGGCCAUAGUAUGUGAGAGCGAGGGGAGAAACACGAGCUGUUGUAUAUAGUUGUGAGUUGAGUGCAGAGACAUUAUUAAGUCUAGAAGUAUUGGCCACAAUGUAUGGAUCAGAGUCAAUAUCAUUGUCCAUGAAGUUUCCAGUGCUGCUCAGAGCCCAAUCCUGGCUAUUAUAAUAUAACAUUGCAGCACCUUUUCGUUCACCAUCAGCUUCAUAAAUGUGAUUACUGAUAUUUGCUUCCUUACCACCACAAUUAAUGUUCAAGGCGUAGUGAUCUAUUGAAAAAAAUUGACAAAAAGGGUUGAAAAGAAAGCAUGCUUAAUGCAAAAUCUUUCAAAUUGUAAUGGUCUAGUAGUGGUAAAGAAAGACAGUAGCAUAGAAAGGCAAAAUUUGCCAAGAGCAGAACAUAAUUAGUAUUUAAAAUUUUCAGCUUUUAGUUUAACUACAUGAAUUAUUUAAUAAAAUGCCAUUAGCAUCAUCUAAUGGUUGUAAUAAAAAAGAAUACAGAAUUAUCUUCCAUUUUUAAUUUUCUUGGAAUUAGUCAACCUGUUUUAUUUCAAAUAAUUGGAAGAUGAUUACUCUUAACCCCUGGAGAAAAACAGAUAUAUUGUGAGAAUUUUUCAUCUACUUAUUUCACUUAAUUUCAGGCCACAAAAUUUUACUCACUUUUUAAAUCUGUCCAUAGUAAUUUAAAACUUGUAGUAUGGUGGUUGCAAACUUACAUUGGCUAACAGAAGCAGGGCAUGGAAAGUUCCUUUUUAAGCAUGGAUGAAUCUUACUUCUGUAAGAAAGAGAAAUUUAAGGCUUUAUACUAGGACUACUGCCAAAAACCAAAUUCUACACAAAAAUCCUCAGAAAGGAAAAGGUAAAAAGACUGCAUAUUCCAAGCACAACAGCUUACUGUGUAUUUACAGAUGAAGAGUAGCUUUCAACAAGGUUUCUGAAAAAACAACAAAAAUAAUGUUGCAGUGAUAACUGAUAACUAAUAUUUGCUGAGUACAACUUUAACUCAAAGCUUAAAUAAAAUUUACAUGCUCCCUCGUUGACAUUCAGUUGGACUUGAGCUAUCCCAGGAGAAAUUAUUGUCAGAGAUAUCACUGUGUACCAAGAUAAUAAAAGAUGUUAAUCUCAUUUGCAACAGGAGUAUUUAUUUCGUUUCAGUUUCAUAAUAUAUAUAUUCUUUAUACAGACAUCAAUAGAUUGAAGUUCCUAGAGUGUACAAGCCAUCCAACUAUAUUUUUUUUUUUACAUUUUUUGAAUGAAUUUGUAGAAAGUUUUGUUUCAUGAUGGAACUUAAUAUAAUAAUUGGCUUGUUGUUGUUGUUCUAUUCUAAAUUCUCUAGAACAUAUCAUGAUAACAGAGAGAUAUAUAUUUCUUGGUGCCUUAUUCACUGUGGCCACUGAAGAAAAUUAUAAGAUGAAAGACUGAAAAUUGAAACAUAACAAAUCAAGAAUUUAACUGUACAUGUUUUUGUUAUUUGCUAGGACCCAGCCAGGUAUAGUCCCUGAUAACUUGUUCCCAGUAAGAUACCUGCAUUGUUUAACACAAAUUUUCUUUUGUCAGAAUUAAAAAUGAGAUGUACCAAUAGCAAAUUUCAUUCAAUUCAUCCACUUACAUGAAGUCUACUUUGUCAAGUUCGGAAAAAGAUUCAGGUAUCUCUCCACUCAAGCCAUUGUAACUCAAAUCUCUACAUCAACGAAGAUAAAUAAAUGAAAUUGCUUUAUGUAAUGAAAUGCAUAACAUUUUUUUGUAUAAAAAAAAUCAAUUUAUCUUCAACUCUAAGAUGGUUAUAAAGGUGAGCAUGUUCUGCAUUUUCAUGUGCAUCCAUGCUUUAUGGCUUUCUUUAUAAUCUUCCUUCAGAAUUCACAAAUUUUAUUAUUAUUCAAAACAAAAUGUCAUGGUUUCCAUGCAUACCAACCAUGUCUUGACAUUUUAGUUUACAGUUUUCUUGCAUUACGGGCUUUUGCUUCUCUCUGAAUGAAGUUUAGUGCUAAUUAGUUAUUACCCUAGUCAAGGGCUAUAAACAAAAUACAUCCUUAAUUGACCUACAAAAACUUGUACCUGUAGAAAACUAUAUUUCAAAUCUAGAUAAAGUUAUACAAUAUUAUUGUGAACUCAGUGUCAAUAUUACAUAUAAAGAUGACAAGGACAACAUUGAACCGAUUCUGAGAUAUUCUCAAAUGGAAUAUGACCCUUGAAGUAAUUUAUCAUAUAGUCAAAACUGCUGUAAGUUACAUGUAGAACAACUUACAAGAUUUUCAGCUUUUCCAUUCUCCCAAUAUAUUCUGGGAUUUCUCCUUUAAUCAUGCAUUUUCUCAAUACCCUGCAUUAUGAUGUCCGGGUAAAAUAUAGGUUAUUUUGUAAAACUUUUAAGAGAAAGAAGCAUUGAGUCAUUGAACUUACAGUGUCUUCAUGGAUUUCAAGUUAUUUAGUGGAGGGAAAGCUGAGGUUUUGUCACCUUUUAGGUCAGUUAUCCUCCUAAGUAUCAAAGAAUAAACAAAACAAUCAUUUGACAUAUUCACCUUCUAUUAUCAAAACAUAAAUCAAAUAAAGAGUUACAUGCAUACAAAUCACUUAAUCUUGUCAAGGCAGAAAUACUAGAAGGUAUUGGCCCCUCAAGUGAGCAACCCUGCAUAUGCCUGUAAUCCCAAAAGAAAAAAAUUGGCAUGAUAAAAUAUAGUGUAUACAUGUAAAUACAGCAAGAAAGAAAUAAGGUAGGAGACUUACAGCUUUUCUAUCACUGUCCAGUUACUAAUGAAAUCAGGUAUCUUCCCAAAGAAAUCAUUGUCGCUUAACCUCCUAAAAUUUGUUUCCAAAAGGUUAAUAAUUAUGCAAAGAAAUGUCAAAGUUCAAUUGUAACUACAAUAAAAGAACAUGAUAAAGCUACAAAUUGUUUAGUCUCCUUGUAAGAAUUAUUUCAGAACCCUGCAGUGACUUGCCUUUACCACCCCCAUAUUAAAAAAAAUCAAAGUGGUUCAUCUUUGUGCAUUUUCUACUGUCAGAGAUUGUAACCACGUGCUAGAUGUUAAAAAUUUAUUUAUUCAAUAAUUAAUUUCUUGCAGAUUGUAGAUAACUCAGAUUGAUAAGAACUUACAAAUCAAUCAACUUGGUCAACUUGGAAAGUGAGGGUGGCAAUGCUCCUGUGAAUCCAUUGGAUGAUAGAAUGCUAAACAAACAUGUUUUGAUUUACUCGUGUUAAGACACUACAGAGUAAUAUGUUAGGGGGAAAAUAGAAACAGAUAUUAUUGAGAUUUGAAAUUUCCAAUAAGCACACCAAGAAGAUCAUAAGAAUUACAUUUUUUCUAAAUUGAUCAACUUCUCAAUCUCCGUUGGAAUGUGGCCUGAAAAUAGGUUUCCUUCAAUACUCCUGUAACAUUCAUACAACUAUUUAAAUUAUACAAAGCUGCAGAAAUAAAUUGGAAAUUAUACUAAACUAGCAAUCCUGAAUCACCUAUGCCUAACUUUCUUUAGGUACAAACAAAUAUGUUGGCAAGAGGUAAAAACUAUCUUACAUAUACCAAAUUUAUUUUUCAUUUUCUUUAAAACAAAAUCACUUAGCUGAGUGACUGAGCCAACAAACAAUUCAUUUGAAAAUAAAGAAAUGAUUUCAACAUACAAGUUUCUGAGGGUUGUGAUAUUGGUGAGAACUUUGGGGAAUGGCCCUGAUAAUUUGUUUCCCAUAAAAGAGCUGCAUAUUCAAUUAACAACAAGAACCUUUAGUGUGACUCUCAAGUCUCAAGUUGUUUACUUAAAAAGAAGAAAUUGAAGAGACUAUGCAUAGAAAUCAAAAGGGUGCCUAGCAGAAAGCUCUUACAUCUCAACCAAGCGCAUGGUACUCCACUGUGGAGGUAUAGAACCAGUGAUGAUGUUACGACUGAGGUCCCUAUUUAAAAGUGCAAGACAAAGUUAGUGGACUUCACCAUUCCUUAAGAAUAAUAAAUGAAUGAUAUGGGAACAUCAUGCAGAGAAAAGAGUCUUGGCUUCAAAAAACUGAGGUUUGGUUAUCUUACAAGUGUGUGAGAUACUGAAGCUUGGAAAACAUCGGUGAGAGGCUACCAGACAGAUUCUGACCCUUCAAGAAUCUGUUUAUUUAGAACAUGAAAUUGAAAGCAGAAACUUAGAAUUUAUACGGUGGUUAACAAUUUAUCAUGAUCAUUCUAUGAUAUCCAACCAAUAAAUAAUUACAGUGCAUGAAAGUAUAAACACAUCUUGUGAAUCCUUAAUGUUGUGCUCCAUUUUUUUUGUCUGCUGUGUAUUAAACAAAAACUAUAAACUCACUUACCCUGUUUUGUUGAAAACCAAACACGUUUUGUUAUACAUGAUAAGGAGCCUAAUUUUUUUCAUGCCUCAAAUUUACACCCCUCUCCUUUUUUUUUACUUUUUCUUAUUUCUUGGACUUGUUAAUUUUUUUUCCCUAAAAACAAAUUGUGUUACCUACCAAAAGUAAAGUAUAUUUUUUGUCUUUGACCUGUUUUGUAACACUAGUAGUGAUUAGCACCAUUCAGUAAAGCUUUGAAACAACAAAAUACAUUUUUACUAGACACAGUUUCAUGUAACAAAUAAACAAACAGUUUGAAGCAAAAUCAUGAAAGUAUAUAUAGCCCUGCAGAUGAAAAUUUAGAAUUUACAGUAAAUAUUGACAAGAAAAAAUAAUAAAAAUGUGUUGCUAUACACACAAAAAAUAGAAAAUAAAGACAGAGACAGCACAUCCUUUUCCUUCAGUUUUCAAAGUCAAAGAUUUGAAACUUGCAUGGGGUCGGUUGUGCUGUCUAGACCCUAGUAUUUUCAAACAUAAGUUUUUGUUUAUUAAUGAGUUGGUUAGUUGAACAUGAAAAAAAAAAAAUUAUACAUACUACGUAUAAAAACUUUGUCAUUUACUAUGUCCAAUUCAAGAAUCAUUUCGCUCUUCUCAUGAAGACAAACGCGGUAUUCUGACAAACCACAGCCACAAAUGUGCAUCAUUAAAAUUCACCUCAGAAUAUGCAUACGAAACAUUGGAAACAUUCAUGAUAAAAAGAAAAGUAUAGUAGGAAAACACCCAUCACCCUAUUCUUCCCUUUUGCUUUAAAUUAAAUAAUAACUUCGAAUCCAGCAAAGAAAACAGGAAUUUUUACAAUUUUCUUAAAAAACAUCAUCUGUAACUACACGUGAAGGUUUGGUGGUAACCUUAGGAGCUGUCUGUAGUAAGACCAAAUGUAUUUGAAGCAAUAUGGUCGUGAAAAUUAACAAAUGAAAAGUAGAAGAAAAUUAUCUUCAUCGUCCUGAGUGCACACGUGAUUCCAUGUGGUUAUCUUUUGAAAACUCAAAGAAUCUAUUGGGAUUGGAACAAAAACUUGAUUGAAACGAGAGAGAAAGAGAAAGAGAAAGAGAGAGAGAUUUACAUGCUUACAACAUGGCAAGAAGUACUGUUAUUGAAGGAACAAUCACACAUCACAGAGCUCUCAAAGCCUUUCCUAUCAUCAGAAGCAUUCCAACUCCCUUUUCCACUGCAAGGAUCCACUCCAAAGUCCCAAUCCUUCUUCCCAAUCUUGCUCCCUAUCUCCUUCAGUGCCUUCACUGCACACACAAUUCAACAAAUCACCUUCACCAAUCAGAAAAAAACAAACAAACAACAUUCUAAUGAAUCUCAAGGAGCCACAUAUAUGCUCAUGCUUAUCAAUCUUGUGCUGAUGAAAUGAAACAACCAAUCCAUGGUUUUUUUCAUGUGCAUAGAUCCGAACAAAACAAUUGAGGGAGGCAACACAACUUUUGUCUAUGCCUUACUUGGCAACUCUAUGCUCCAAAAAACAUGGAAAAUUAGUAGUUUGCAAAGCACUGUUCUAAAGUACGAAAGAACUGAUCUGAAACUGAUACAGGGAAAAAAGUGAAUCAACAGCAAUGAGUUUUACCCUCUUGAGUGUUGAGCUUGGGAGUGGCUGCAGAAGCCAAGUGUAGGAAAAUCAAUGAAGUUGAACCAAGCAGAAGCAAAAAGAACAUCCUGGAAUAUCCCAAGUUGGACUCCAUGAAUGUGUUUUCACCCUUUGGAAAGUGAACUCUUAGGUUGUUGAAGGAGGAAGAAAAUGAAAGAUUUUGAGUCAGAGACUAUGAUAUGAGAUGAGGAUAGAGGGUGGAUUGCAUCAAUGGUGAUGCUAUUGUGGGCACUGUACUCUGGUUGGGAGCAUGUGACAAAAAAAAAAUUCUUAAACCAAACCCAAUGAGUAUUUAUACAGUGAUUUGUUAAGUUCUAUUGCGUGUGUAAGAAAAGAUCCAAACUUUACUUCCACUUAUAUUCAAAACAUCUCCUAAUUCUUGGAACUAGUUUGAGUGGAUGAAUCAAACAAUGUAAUGAUUAUGUUAUCAAAAAUUUACAUAGUUAACUAUUUUGAAAUAUGAUUUUCAUAGUGUUUUUUUUUUAUAAAAUUAAUAAGUUUAUUAUUAUAAUGAUGGUGAUUUGUAAUUUGAAGACACUCUCAAAUUAUUUUUCAUUGUUAUUAGUAAAGAUGUUAUUUUUAUGCAAAACAGUGUGAAAAUGUUGUUUUACACUCUACCCUGUUAUGUUACUUUGAGGAUAAACAACCCUAACCAGUUCUUUUACUUUAAGCAUAAACCAAAAAAAAACUUUGAAGAAGAGCAUGGGAAACGUGCUUUUGAAGAUGCAAAAGAAAAAGCAGAAAUUUUGAAUUGGGAAAAUGAAUUCAAACAAUAAUUAUAAUAAUUAUAGGAAGAUUCAAAACACAUUUUUUUUUUCUUACACCCAUCUUAAAAUUUCUAUUUUUAAUAUUUUUUUACAUAAUUUAAUUAUAAAUUUAUUUUUUAUUAUAUUUUAAAAAAAAAUUGUCACAUCAAAUAUUACAUACAACUACAUUAGUUGACAAAGUAUGUUUUUUUAUAGGAAUAUCUUGAUGGAUUGCCCUCCUAAUUUAAAAAGAAAAAAAAAACUUCAAUACUUAAAUUAAGAAUAUUUAAAAUUAAAUAAAGUUUCCCACUAGUAUAACUUUGUAAUUUUAUUCCUCUAAUUUCUUGUAUAGAUAAUUUUGAUAAUUAUAGUUUUAAUGGUUCAAUUUUAGAGCAUAUUUAUAAAAAAAAAUUAACAAUUUUCGUCUCCAUAUUAUUUGAUUCCAGCCUACAUAUUUAAGAAUAUUAUUAACUUAUCAUUCAAUUUCUAAGAAUUUAAUUAUAAAUGAUUAAUGAAUUAUUUUAUUUAAUGUGAUUUUUGUGUUAUUUUACUUUAAUUCAUAAUUGUGUUCAAUAGUUUAUUUAAUAUUGAAUCAUUUAAUAUUUGAUAUUAGUUUGUAAAAAAAUCAAUAAACCAUGUGUAAACAGUGCAAUUUAAAAUAGAUUAACAGAUUAUCUCGUAACACAUAGAGGUAAUAUUAUUAAUAAAAAAAUUGACACUUUUUUUUUAUGUAACUCAAUGUUCAGUGCAUUUUCUAUUUUAAUUUAAUUUUUUCUAAUUUUUAUUUGGACGAUAAGUAUUAAUGCAAUAUUCUAGAUUAUUAUUUGGAUGUGGUCAAAGUCAAUCCUCCAACCUUCUUUCGGCUCCAUGAGUGGAAUAAGGACAUGUUUGGCUUUGUUCAAUUAGAAGGAAAAAUAUUAUUUAAACAUAAUCAUUAUAAAAACUUGCAUAUUUUGGAUUAAUUAAUUUCACCAUAUUUUUUAUAUAAAGAAAGCACUAGAUGUGGAAUUAUAUUUAAUUAAAAUUAAACUAAUAUCUAGUUAUAUAAAACAAUAUUGUCAUAGAGUUAUAUAUUUUUAAUUGAAUUUCUAUAAAAAAAAUAUUAUGUUAAAUAUUUAAAAUAUUUUUAUUUUCGUUUAAGUACUAAUUGUCGACAAUUUAAUCAUCACUUGUAUCAUUAUUUUAAAUUGAAUGAAAGUAUCAAAGAUUUUAAUAUGACGAGCAAAUUACAUUAAUUAUAUUUAAAUAUGAUACUUGAUUAAUAGUUAAUAGCAAGGUAAAAUAUGUAUGAUCAACAUAAUUAAUACACACAAACACAAAUAACAUGUAGCAUUUAUAAAUAAACAAUGUCAUAAAGAAUAAUUAAAGUUUAUAAUCUUUAUGAGAGGCACUAGAAUAAUAUCACAAUGCAUGCAAAUGAAUUAUUGAACAAUUUAUCCUUUUGAUGCAAAGAAAAAUAUAGUUCAUAAUUUUAUUUCAUACAAUUUUUUUUUAUAUUAGUAGAGUCAAGGAAUAAUUAUUUUAAUCAUUAUUAAACUCGUACUUGAUUAUUAUUUUUUAUAUUACCAAUUUUUUUUCUAAAUCUCAGUUAACGACUAUCGUUUACAAUAAUAAUAAUAAUAAUAUAUUAUGUUUGAUUGUUUGGCUGAUUAAAAUAAAAUUAAGAUAGUUUCUAUAAUAUUUUAAGUUUAAAAUGUAUUAUCACUCUUAUACAUACAUAUAUAUAUAUAUAUAUAUAGAUAUAUAUACAGUCAGCAACUACUUUUUGUUCAUAAUUUGAGUAAGAAACACGUUGAAUACGAUGUUAGGUCAAUUUAUCUGUGUAAAAGGGCUUUAAAGUUAAAAAUUAUACUAACAAUAUUGGUAAAACUAACCAAUUAAUUAAAAAAAUGCUAAAUAAAUAAAUAAUUAUUUAAUUAUUCAAAUAUUAAUAACAAAUAAUUACAAUUUUUUUUUACUUUUUAUAAUAUAGAAAUUUAUAUAAAUUAAUUUUUAAGUGUUAUUUGUGUGAAAAAACAACUUUAUCAAAUACAAAUGAAAUAGUUUUAUGAAAAAUUUAUCUACCAUCAGUUUUAUCUCUAAUCUAAAUAAAAUAUUUUACAAACACACAUUUAUCUAGUUCUAUUUUUUGGAUUUUUUUUUUUCUGAAGUGAGUUUGCAAAAUCAUUAUCAUGCAAUUGUCCAAAUCUAUAGGUACAAAAAAUAUGGAGGAUGAGCAGUGUCUUUUUGCAAGUGUCCAACGUGUGAUUCUUGAAGACGUAAUUAUCACUGUCCACGGGAAAAUAAUGAUUCCACGCACGUACAAAAUAAUUAUACUUCAUUACAUUAUUUUUUAUUUAUUUAAGGAUAAGAUUUCAUGGUAUUUAUAUUAUAAUUUAGAAAUAUUUAUUACAAUGAAAGGUUUUUUAAUAAAAUAAAAAGUUUUUAAUAUUAAAAUAGAGAACAUCUCGAUCAAGUAUCUCGGAAUCACGACAUAAUCAUUUGACAUGUGUUUAUUGUGAGUGACAUCAAUUGUGUUGUGUAAAAGUCAAGUGAGUCAAAUCACAAUCGAAUCAUGACACUUAUAAAAAGAGUAACGUCUUAACUAUUAACUAUAUUUUUUUUUAGAUAAGCAUUAGAUCCAACGAUUGUUAUUAUAGUCAAAUUCACACAUUUGAUUCCCAGCGAGAGAAUUGUUGAAGGAAAGAUUGUUGUGGUUGACAUAAAUUGUCCUAAUGAUAAGUGUUCGAUUAUAUAAUUUCUCUAAAUAAUUAAGCAUGAUUAAACAAACUUAUUAUGUCUAAACACGUCCAAAAAUUGUAAUUAUAACUUACUUAGAGUUUUCACAAAGCUCCGUCCGGAUCAUAAAAAUUAGAAUAAAUAAGAAGGUAUCACUAGAUAAAAAUACUUUAUUUUGAUGAUUUUUAUAGUUAUGAAGUUGAAGUUAGUGGUGCUAUUUAAUCAUUUUGGCUAAAACAUUAUUUUGAAUGUAGUUUUUUAAUAAUAUUUCAUAAAUUUAUAAUUAUAUUAACCUAUUUAAAUGGAUAAUAUUUAAAUAUUAAUGUUAUAAAUGUAAAUAAGAAUGCCUAAACAUUUUUGUAAAUAAAAAAUAAAAUAAUAAAGAAAUAAAAGUAAGAAUUUUGUUUGCAUUGGAAAAAGGAGAAAAGGAAGAUAGCGCGUGGGGACAAAGGUGAAGUUGACUGACAGCAUUCCACUUGUAUCUGCUGCCAGCUAAGCUUUGGGAGUGCAGCAUUCCAUUUUGGACUCAAACUUCCUUUUCUCUUCAUUAAUGCCUUUCUACUAUUUCCAUUUUCACAUUUAUAAACAAAAUUAAAAAUAUUUCUAUAUCUUUCUAUGAUACCACUGUAAUUUAUAACCAAUAAAAUCCCCUUUUAUUAGUACACAAUAAAUACUCUUUAAUCUACAAGGAAUGAAAUGUUUCACUUAGUUCAAUCUAUGAAAAUUAUUCAAUCUCUCAAUAUAUAACUAAAUUUAGAAACUAAAAUAAUUAUUGAUAUUUAAAUUAGUUUUUAUUAUUGAUAAAUUAUUUUUAAAUUAGUAUUUAAAUAGUUAGUGUUUCGACCUCAAGUUCGAAAAAUAAUAUCACUAGGGUCAAUCAUCACAUCUGAGAUAUUGUCCGUUUUGGAGGUUGAUGUUCCAUCACGGUUUUAUUCUUAAAAGACGCUUUGACUCGACGGGUUAGAUGAUAAAGGAAUAUAUAAAUGUCAUUGGCCUCGACUCCUAAACGAUGUGAGAUUAUAUUGACGGUACCGGAAGAGCUACCAACUGUAGUAUAUAAAUAAUUAAUAGUUAAUACAUCAAUAACUAAUUAGAUACUAAUUUAGAUACUAAUAAUUUCUAUAGUCUUUAAAAUAACAUCUAAUCUAAUCAAUAUAACAAAUAAUUAUUUUUUCAUUAAAAUUAAUUUUUAUUUAAUAAUGAAUGUUAUUCAACUGAAUUAAAGUAAUCUGUUGACUUGAUAUAAGUUAACGUAUUUAUGAACUUAUAAGUAUUUUCAAGUUGUGCAAUUGAAAGUGCAUUGAAAACAUAUUUCAAAUUAUAUAAUUUAAAAUAUAUAUUCUAAAAUAUAAAAUUUGCAUUAUGAAAAUGUAUAAUCAGAAUAAAAAAUUCAUAAAUAUUAGUUUUAGAAUUCUGUAAUUGAAGAUUUAUCUAGACUUCAUAUUCUGAAAUUAAAAAACCGAAAAAGAUAAUUUUGGUAUUUUUAGAAGUAUGUGUUGCAGAAGGAACACAUGGGUACAGAAUGAAUUUACCAAAAAUAUGUUGGCAGUUUCUUCCUCCUACGUUUUUCUUCCUGCACCCCAUAAUGUAAUGCAAAGACAAAAAUAUCCCUAUUAUUUUUUAAAAAUUCCGAAAUACACAUAAGAUCCACACUACUCUUUCUUCUUCCAGACAAUGCAAUUCGGUAACUUUACAGAAUAGGAAAUUCACAUUUAUUUUUUUGCAUUCCGGAUUGGUGAAUCCAGUAAUCUUCCAGAUUGGUGAAUCCAAUAAUCUUUCGGAUUGGUGAAUCCGGUAAUCUUCCGGAUUGGUGAAUCUGGUAAUCUUCCGGAUCCAUCAAUCCGUAACAAAAAUUAGACUUCCGGAUUCAGCAAUCCAGAAAUCAACAAGUUGCUUUCGAAACACUCCUUUAUUUGAAAAAGAACACGAAUCACUUCCAAAUUGAUGAAUCCGUAGCACACUCCAGGAUUGAUGAAUCCGGUAACCUAAAAAACUUUAGUUUUUAAAAAUAAAAGGUGAAGGUCAUUUUCGGGAUUUACAAAAUUGUGAGGGUGCAGGAAGAAAAACGUAGGGGUGCAGGAAGAAGAAGCCAAAUAUGUUUACAAUGUGUUCUGGACCUAGGUGAUAAGUUAAGGCCCAAUAAACUACUUUUGAACUUUCGUGGCCCAUGUUAUUUUCACCACCCCUUCAUAAGGUACUUCAGAUGUUUUUUAUUUGCAUGAUCAAGUAUCAAACAUUUGUUUACAUAUUGUAUAAAUUUUGUUUUUGUUUUUAUGUUUUAUAACAAGUUAACAACAAGAAGUAAUGUAUGAAUUGAAUUGAAUGAGAGUUGGUUAAUUUAGAAUGAGAGCUGCAUAUAAAAGCAAAUUCCAAGUAUCAGGAACACCAGGGAGACACCAAUGGCUGCAAUCCAAGCUCCUUUUUCCACCAUAACCAUAAAGAGAAGGGUGACCAUCUUUCCUCAUCUCUGACAAUGAAGUAAUAUUCAGCAAAUUCACAUGCUUUGACAUGCCUCCUAACACCUUCUGCAACACUAUCUCAGCUGGGUGUGAACCUCCUGAGUAUUUUAAUCCAGACUCUGGAACCAUUUGCCCCUCACAGAAUCUUGCCUUUGCCUCACCCCAUUUUCCUCCACUGCAUCAAUUCACACAAACUGAAGUGAAUUAUAAGAACACACAUAUAUAUAUAUAGCAAGAACAAACUCAUGUUGUAAUUAAGGAGAAAUUUAGUGAGAAUAACAAAGGUUUUGUGAUGACAUUCAUAGUAGCAUUAAGAAGUAAACUUUAAGCUUAACUCAACAUUUUUAAACCGGUUAUAAAGUGAGGUUUGCAUUCAUCUCGCCGAAGUGGUCAACAAACACGUGCGUGAGACUAUACAUUUAUCAGUGGUUCGAUAGCAAUCCAAUAGCGAAAGUAACAUGAUAAGGUUAACAAACUCUUGUUAAGAUUGGUUAAAAGAUGGCUCUGAUAACUCUCGUUAGGAUUGAUUAAAAAAUGACUCUGAUACCAUAUUUAGAAGUGAACUUUAAAUCUAACUCAAUCUUAUAAAACCGACUUAUAUAAGAUGAGAUUUGUAUCCACUUAUAUACUAUUAAAUGUCUUCAUCUUUAAUCUAUUAAAUUAAAUAUCUCAAUCUUUGAUAUGAAAUUUUCAACACAUUAUUAGUAAUUUACUUUGAAAUGAUUUUGGUAAUUUUUAUAGGAUCAUUUAGUGGAAGUGGGAGGUACAAACUUGAGAUGAUCUGGAGAGACUCCUUGAAAGAAUACCCUUGUUUUGUUAGGGUUAACAUUGUCUUCAACCCAUUUGGCCCAUGUUUUCAAGCCUUUCUCGUAUGCAACCAACCGAUCCAUGUCCUUGUAUGUAUGAUUUCCUUCUCGAAUGAAAUCCCAUCUGCAGAAAGACUAAGAGUGAAGUAUCAAACAUAACAUGAUCACGUGUUGGAGAUCUCACAUCAACUACAGAUAAUAUAAAAUAUUUUUAUCUCUAAUCGAUGUGAAAUCUCUAACACUACGUAUUUACUUGAGCUGGGAAAUUUUACAUACGGUUGUUUUCUUCCAAUGUGAAGCCACCAAUGCCAAGAGUCGAAUAUGAGUAUAUCAUUUCCUUUCCACUUUUUUCCACCUUCAAUUGAAUCUAGUUUGAGGACUCUACCAAUACUUUCACUAACAAUAUCCACCAAAAAUGCAUUUCGGGAAAGCUUCACCUUCACAUCAUAGCUCUGCAUAUAUCAUAUAUGUGUCAUUCAAACAAUGAAUGAUAGGGUAUAUUUAACAGAUAAAUGUCAAAGGUUUUUGAAAGUAAAUUCACUAAAAUAUAACUUUUAAAACCAAAUAUUAUUUUAUCAGUACAUUUAUCUCAAGAGAAAAAUAUUAAUAAUUCUCUUACAAAUACGAAUAAAUCGAAGAACUUAUAUCAGAAAUUAAUAUAUAAUCUUGUCACUGACCUGGUUUUAACUAGUGUUUUAGCUUUUAACAACUGAUAAAAGUCUGGUUAGUACCUUCCUUUUAACUUGUAGAUCAGCUGGUGAAACUGUUUAGCUUAAUUAGUGAUUACUUGAGAAUGCAAUUAUCUUAAGAAAAUGUUCAGAAUACAUAUAAGAAUUUUAUUAUUAUUUAAAAUUUAUUAAAAAUUAGUUUUUUGUGAAUUUUACGAAUUAUUUAGUUAAAAUUUAUUAAUAAUUUUAUACUUUUAAAUAAACUUUAACUUGUAAUGUAUUUACUAUGGAGACGGAUAGCUUAUUAUAGUCAUGUCUAACUUCACAGGAUUUAGUAAGAAACAUUGUUGUGAUAUUAAAAAAUCUGCAUUAUUCUUAGAUUUUUUUUUAAUAAAAUUACUGUUUUUGUCAAGACAAUUGCUAAAAUUGUGAUUAUCUUUUAUACAUAUGAUCAUUAAUUACAAGUCCAGAUUCAUAAUUUACGUUGCAUUGAAGAUGAAUCCAUGACCAAAAACACACACUAAAGGCUUAUCAACAUAAAAAGAUUGGUUUGAAUGAUGAGAAGGUUUAUAAAUUAUACAGAAGAAGAAGAAAGGAAGGAAGAAAAAGUUAAUUAAUGAGAUUCGUCUAAUCGGGAAAGUGAAGGUGGAUAGACCUCCAGGUCUUAAUUACGGUAGAAAAACCAUGUUUAGGGUUUCUCACAUUUUUUGUGAAGAGAAUGCAUGUGCUGAUAAGUUUGAUAACUUAUGCUUUAUUCAUAGAGAGUAAUUAGUAUAAUAAGCUUUCAUCUAGUUUUUUCUUAAAUUUUUUUAUUAAUAGGUAUAAAUUAUCUAUGUGCCAUUUUUGUUAAUAUAUAGAUUUUGAUCUAGUCUCUCAUAUUUUUUUUUUCUUUUAAUAAUAUUUUUUUUUAUAUGAUAGCAGAUUAUUGUUGUUACUUGAAGUGUCAGUCUAACUGAGAUGUCAAGUUUAAUAGUGAUACCAAGGUAAGACUUUUAUAAAAAAGAAGGAAGAAGAAGUUAAUUAAUGAGAGUGGUCUAACCGCGAAAGUGAAGGUGGAUAGAUCCCCAGUUCUUAGUGUGGUGUAGUUGGCACGUGGCACAGCUGUGUGAAGCAUGCAAGUGAGUGAUUGCCAUUGAUUCAAACUCAAGGAGUCCCCCACAAACAAAAUACUCUUCCCUCUCAGUCUUCUCAACAAAUCUUCGCCGUUGAAUCUGUACAUCAUGCAUGCACCAAACUUCAUUCAAGUCCAAGGUGGCUCCAUUUCAAUUUAAUUACAUAAUCAUUAUUCAAAUACUAUUUAUUUAUGUCAACCAAUCUUGCUUCUUUGCUUUCCCUUUAAAACAAAGCAGGUGAAAGCAACAUCACAACCACAUUGCUCUCAAUUUAGCACCAGGAUUCUAACAUCUCACUUGUUCUAUUUUAUUUAUAUUAUUGAAUCCAAUCACAUUGAUAACUUUAAUUUAGCAAAAAAAAUGAGUGUUUUUUUUUGUAAUUAAUAGUAGGAUUGGUUGUUAGUAUAACAAUUAUAGAUAAAGAUACUAUAUAGUAUAUAAGUGGAUGAAAAUCUCAUUUUAUAAAUCAGUUUUAUAAAGUUGACUUAGACUUAAAGUCUGAGUUGGUUUUAUCAAAUCAUUUGUUAUCAGACAACUCAUAAUAUACAAUUCAAUGCAUGAUUUGUCAACCUGGCAUGAGAAGAUGUGUUCAAAUCUCACAUCAACUAAAACAUGAUAUAAUAUAUAAAUGGAUGUAAACAUCAUCUUAUAAAAUUUGAUAAAAUUAAGAUAUAUUUAAAAUUUAGUUCAUAAUAUUUAAUCUUUAGAAAGUAUAUCGCUUUCACUUGCAUGUGUUUUUCUUUUAAUAGGAGUAACGAGUGGAGCCCGAGGAAAUGUGAAAUCUACAUCGGAUGUCAUAUUCAAGUUGAAUAAUAUAGAAGAAAACCAGAACUGCCAUUAAUCUCUUGGAACGUUAAUCAUCUCAGAGUUCUUUAUUAUUGAUUAACAAAAUAAACAUCUAAGUCUGAUUGUAAAAGGAUAUAAACAGUUUCAAAGUAACAGUAACAAACAUGGAAUUGAUCAAAAGUAAAUUGUAACAUCUGAAGUGAUAUAGAGUCACCAACAACUCUGAUAGAAUAAAUUUUAAACCUUAAACUCUAAAUUCUGAUUUCGUAGGAAAAAAAUAACAGUAACAAACAUGGAAUGGAUAAAACUAAAUUGUAACAUGUGGAAUGGAUAAACCUAAACCUUAAACUUUAUUAAACUCUUAGAAUAAACCCUAAACCUUAAACUCUAAACUCUGAUCGUCUAAAUAGUAUAAUAGGAUUAGGAUAUACCUGGGUAAGUUGCAGUUAUUGGGGUGCCAUCUGUACUUGACAUAGUUUUUAUCUGGGCGACCAUUUGUUAUGCAAUCAAACUGGUUGAGAAUGAAGGGACAAUCUGAGGAAUUAUAAAGAGGGUAUGAUUCAUCAGCAAUCCAAUUUCCCUGAGAGAAAUCACAGUCCCUGGUUGCAGUUGCUCUUGGCUCUUUGUGAUGACCACUCUGGGGCAUAUGAAUGAAAAGUAAAAUAAGGAGCAGAAUUAAUAUCCCCAUGAGAGUGUGGGAACUGAAAACAAAACAAAGGUUGUAAUAGUGGAGGUUUGAGGUGUGCGUGAAUUGAGGUAUUAGAGGAAUAGAAGUGAGAGAGAAGAGAGAGUUGAAAUGGAUAGAAAGCAAGAAUCAUAAUCAAAUUUGUACUUCAAGUGGGCCUCAUCUCAUCACCCAAGUGUGCUCUAUCCAAUAUUAUCAGUGGUUAGAAAAUGAGAACAAGGAGGAAACAAUUUAUUAUUAUUAUUAUUAUUAUUAUUAUAUAUAUAUUUGUUUUUUCUUCUUCAAAAUUUUAAGUGUAUUUCCUUAUUGCAAAAACUAAAUAUAUUGAUCCAUAGGACAUUACUCUAGAAACUAAAAAUAAAGGAAUUAAAAAAAUUGAGCCAAAUCAUAAAAUUAAAUGAGUGAGAAAAAAUGAAAUCUAACUUGAAGUUUCACUACUAAAAAAAUCACUAAAUAAAAAUUAUUUUUAGAGACAAAAAUUAUUUGUUUCUAUAUUGACUAAAUUAAAUACUAUUUUAGAGAUAAAAAAAAAUUAUUAGUAUCUAAAUUAGUUUUUAUUAUUGAUAAAUAGUUUUUAAAUUUGUAUCUAAUUAGCUACCUAAGUUUUAACUAUGAAUUAUUUAAAUUCUAAAGUUGGUAUUUAAAACUUUGGUAUCUGAUUAGAUAACAAUUUAGAAAUUAUUUAUCAAUAAUAGAAACUAAUUUAGAUAUCAAUAUUUUUUUUAGUAUCUAAUUUUGUCAAUAUAAUAACUAUAUUUUUUAUUUAAAAUUGAAUUUUUUUUUAGUAUUGUAAUGAAAUAUAUAAAGAAAGUAAUUACAUGAAUAAAAAAUAUUGUGGUAAUUGUAGAUUACACUGAAGACAUCAUGAGAAAAAUUCUUUGCAAAUUUGACAAUAAUGCAGAAGACAAUAUCGUAUUGAAACUGCCUUACAUGUAGUCCACCCACAUUUGUCUCUUGAUUUCCUUACAAUAACUUUUUUUUUAAUUCUUUUAAUGUUUAACAUUGAAUGUAAUUGAAUACAAUAAUAUUUUUACAUUAAACUACAUCAAUUUAAUAAAAAAUUUGACCAUAUUAAAUUUAAAUUGAAGAACAUUAAAAGAACGCAAAUGGACAUAAGCUUUUUAUUUUGAUAUUCAACACUUAAAUGAAAAAUUAAAUGCAAGGUAUAUAUAAAUAUAAGAAAAGUAAAAAAUAAUACUUAAUAUUAAUGUUACAUAAAUGAAUUAUUAAAUUAAUUUAAAUUGAAAAAACCAGAGUAACUAUUUAUUAAUACUUUAUUUAAUUAGAGUAGGGUUGGUAGAAUUGAUAGGUUUGAUCCAUCUUGAUCUGACUUAUCAUUGAUAUGUGUUAAAAAUGGAUGACUGAGUGGGUUCACUAUGAUUACGCAAUAUGAAAGUUUUAACUCGUCUUAAUCCCCUAUUUAUACCACCAAGUUAUCAUAUAUUUAAAAUGAAUGUUUUACUAAUUUAAGAAUCACUUUUAUUCUCUUAUAGUAGUAAGUGAAUUUAUGUCUAACUCAACCUCACAAAGUUUGCUUGUAAGCUGAUGAUUUCACUUCACUUAUUAUAAUUUGAUCUUAUUCUUAGUUAAUAUGAUAUUUUCAACGCAUUCUAUCACAUCAAAGAAUGAAUAUCUAAAGUGUGAAUUAUAUAUUCAUGGGUAAUCUAAAAUGAGCCUAUUAGUGAUGACACAAUAACUUAAAUAAAUUUAACUAAGAUAGAUUUUAAAUGAUUCUGAUAUCAUCUUAGUAAAUGAAUUUAUGUAUAAUUUAACCUCACAAAAUCGACUUCUAAGUUAGUAUAAAAAUCAAACAUUUGUUGGAUUUUAAGAAAGAAUUUUCCAUCUAAGGUAUAGAAUGUUCUUUGUGUAAAUAAAUUCUUUAAGAGGAGACACACAAAAAAAUAUUCUUAGUAAAAGCUUCAUGUUUUUGGAGUAGUAAUUAUCUCUUUAAGAGGUUUAGAAAACAAGUAAUUAUCUCUUUCCUUUAACAUGUGUUUUUUUUUUCUUAAUUAAUAGCAUUAACAAUUGGACCAAAAGGAAAUGUGAAAUCUGCAUCAGAUGUCUGUCAUAUUCAAGUCCAAUAUAGAAGAAAAAUCAAGAACUGCAGUUAAUUUUUUGGAAUGUUAAUGAUCCAAUGUUUUUAAUUUCUGACCAAUAUUAAUAACAGUUAGAAAACAAGAACAAAGAGGAAAGAAUAUGUGAAACUUUCUUUCUGUGAAAAAUAAAAGUAACACUAAAAAAAACAUACAUGAUAUUGUAAAAAAUUUGAUACCAAAAGCACACAAGUUCUUCUCUUUAAUGCUAAAAAAUACAUAAAAAACUAUAAAAAGAUAAAUUUUAAAAAAAGUAUCAAAUAAGUUAAACAUAUUUUGAUAAUUUAAAACAAAUACAAGUAUAAAAAACGCGAAUACACUUUCUUGUCCUCAUACCCAAUUAAAACAACAAUUAUUUUUUAUAGUCAUAAAUUUUUAGUCAAUUAAAAAAUUCUCUUGAAAAAAUAUUUUGUUUUCUAAGUGGAUCUUAAAACAAAACAAAUAACUAGUAUAUAUAUAUAUAUAUAUAUAUAUAUAUAUAUUUUGAGUGAAGUUUGUAAUGUAAAAAAAAUUGAAUUGAAGUUUUGAGAUUAGUCAAAUGACAUUAAUGAUUUUACUUUGUUAUUAUUAUAUAUUCAACUUAUUUUUGUCAACAAAGAAUAUUGUUGAAAAAUUUGCACUAAAGUUGUUACAUGAGGCCUUCCCUAUAUUAUUAUUUUUUUAAAAUAUUUUAAUUAAUUAUUACUUCAUUUAAUUUUUAUUUACUUAUCUUUUACCACAAUCAUACGUUUCUCUUGACUUUUUACUUUUCCAAACACAUGUUCUUUUAAUUUCUUAAGCUUGUUUCUUCAAAUUUUAAAAUAACUAAAAUAAAACACAUUAUUUUUAAUGAAUAAUAAGAAAAUCCAUAAAACAAAUAUAUUAACAUUGUAUACAUAAACGCACAUAUAGUUAAAUGGGUUGGGAGGAUUUAAAUUAUGACUUCAUUUUUUUGUGCAUAUUGAUUUCACAUAUUAAACACUCAUUUUUCUCUCCAAUGUUUUCAUUUGCUAUAGUCGAAAAUUGACUCUUAUAAAUUAUUUUUUUGAAAAUUUAAGUUGAUUUUCCUUAUGAGCUAAAAAUAAUUACAUGAUUAAAUCUACUGACAAGAAAUACAAUAUAAUUUGAAGUUUUAAUAAUAAAGAAAGAAAGUGAAUUAUAUGAAUCAAAAUAGUGUUAAUGUAUUGACUACUUUAAAUAUAUCAUGACAUUUAAGAUAAAUUUUAUUUACCAAUUUGUCAAUACAGUCCAUAUUUAAACUACUUUUAAUUUACUUUUCUUUGUAGCUUUAUUACCAUUGCAGUAACUUUUUAAAAAAUUUAAAAUAUUUUAAUGUUUGUAUUGAAUUCCAUAGAAUAUAAUAAACAUGUUUUCCUUUUACCACAUUAAUUUCAUCAUUAAAAAAAAUUGACAAAAUUAAAUUUUAUAAGAGGUUUAAAAAUCAAACAAAUAGAAAGGUCUAGAUUAAUAUAAAUUUUUAUUUUUACAUUUUUAAAUAUUUAUAAAAGAAAAAAGUAAAUGCAAAAUAAAUACAAGUUAUAUAAAUAUAAAAAAAAUAUAAAAUAUUUGAACUUUGUAUUAAUGAAUAUGUUUAAAUAAAUAGAGGAAAUAGAAUAAUCAUUCAUUCAUCAUUAAUUUAUUGUUGUGAUUAAUUUAUUUUUCUUUCAUUUGUCGGUAUAUUCAAAAUUUAGAUAACAAAAUAAGUUUUUUUUCACAUAAUUCUAAAAUCACAAACGGAAAAUCACAUUAAACUAAUAUCAUUGCUUACAAAAUAAGCUCAACAUUAAAAAAGACUUGUACCUAUUACACACAAAGAAGUUUGUAUGUCAAAAGAUUUACUGAGGCUUUACCAAAAUAAAUCUAUAGAUUACCAUUCUUCUAGACAUUGAAAGACAUUUCAUGAUAACUUUUUUUUAAAUAUAAAUUAAUAAAUUAAUACUUAUGACAAUACUUUAAUUUAAAGAUGAGUACAUAAAAUGAUAUUAAUGGAACUUAGUCAUGUUAUAAUUGUCAUCUAAAAGACAUGAAUAAGGACUAAUGGUAUCUCUUUUCUCACAAUCAUUCUUGAUUUGAUUUCACCAUAGUGAUUCUAAGAGUUCUUGAAAAUAGUAGCAGUCAGAACAACAUCAUCACCUGCAAUAACCUUUCCUCCAACAACUCCCAUAAAGCUUUGAUCUAUGUUUGAACAAAAACAAAUGUUAAAAAAACAGUCAAAAUUAGAUGAUAAUGUAGUACUAGAGUUGUUAUUUAUGCAAGUGCCACUGAGGGAAACUAAAGUAAAGGGUCCAUGAACAAUGAAAGUAGAAAUUUCAUAUUCACUGUCAUCGCGGAGAGUGGCGUUUAGGAUAGAUCCUGAUGCGGUUUGCACUGUGAUGCUAGUUUGGUAAUCACGGGCGAAUUGGGUUAGUGUCUCAAUUACAUCAGAGUUUCUAGGAAUUUGAAUGAGUAUAGGUUUUUCGACAUGCUCACUGCUUCGGUUAAUCACAAAGGUUAAUUUUUGUUUGUUCUUGGAGCCUGCAGGCCUACCGCGUGUUCUCUUUGAUGAUGAUGAUGAUGAUUUUGAAUGAGAGGAAGAAUCAAUAGCAUCAUUGAAGGUGUUGUCAUCAGAGGAAGAAAGUGGGGUGGAUGAUAGGGGAGUCACAUUACUUGGUUGAACCAUUGUUAAAGUAGAAAAGGAGAAUGAAUAUGAAAUCUGAAUGGAAAAAUGAUAUUGAAUUGUAUAUAUAGAGUGAGAAAAACGGAAAGGAUGAGGAAUAAUGUGGGUGUGUUAAUCAAAAGAAUUUUUUUUGUUUGAUAUAUCUUUGUAGAAUGGUUUGUAAUAAUCAAGUUGAGUGGUUAGACAUUUUAUAAGAGAAUCAAGGAAAUGAAUUGUGCCAACAAGGAUCAAGUUACAAUAAAUAAAGUUGUGGGCCUAUUGCAUGUAUAUUUGAGAGUUACGAUUUUUAGUCAAAAAAGGAGUCCACAAUGGUACAAAACAUGUGUGGUUUUCAAAAGUAAAAGAGACUAAAUAUAUAUAAGAUUUGAGAAUUAAGAUAUGAUUUCAUAUGGAUGAAAUAUGUUAAAAGUAAGUUUUAUUGAUAUAGGCGAAAAUGGUGAUGAAAUAAUUGAAUGCAAAUUGUUCCUUUAAUACUUUGGUGUGUACAUAAAUUGAUAUAUUAGAGGAAUGUCAAUGAGACAAAUGAAGGACUCAUGAGGAUGAAAAUGAGAUAACAUUUGAGAAGUUUGAAGGUGAAAAUCUCUCCACAUCCAGAGCAUGCAACCAUUGUUUUCCCAAUGAAAAAAAGUUGUAUUCUCAUAGCCAAAUUUUCCUUUUUGUUUUUGUUUUUACUCCAUAAAUUGAAGUUUGCUUAAAGACAUGAUGUCUUGUUAAGCAAAAAUAAUACAACAACUUAUGUAUUCUACACAACUUCUUGCUUAAUGGCAUAUCUUAGCACCAGACAAAUUCAACUAUUUUUUUUUGCUACUUCAUGUGCCACUCAUUUAGUAGGUGAUACACUCAUUGAACGAGUCUCUUUAGUGGUGACUUUUUUACUAUGACUCCAAGUUUCUAACUCUCUCUAAAAUAAUAUGGAGAAAAGUGAGAAAUAUUAAUUACAUAAGUGUAAAUAAGAGGUAAAAAGGUAUGAUAAUUCAAGUGAACGUUCGCAUUAAGAUUUGAUCUGAUGCACUUUGUAUUGUGAUGCUAAUUUGGUAGUCAAGAACGAAUUAAAUCAAUGUAAGAAUCUGAUUAGAGUUUCUAAGAAAUUAAAUAAAAAUACAUUCGUGGACAUGCUCAAUGUCUUAAUUAAUCACAAGGGGGUAAUUUGUGUUUUUUGAGCUCACAAUGCUAUUUUGUGUUCUCUUUAAUUUUAAUAGUAGCAAUGCUUGGUUAAAGGAACAUCUAGUAGCAUGAUGAAUAUUAUUAUUAGAGGACAAAAAAAAUAUGGUAAGAGAUGGGCAAUUACAAUAAUUGGUUGGAUUUUUGUUAAGCUGAAAGAGAUUUGUGUGAAAUUUGGUAGAAAUGUGAUAUUUAGAUGGAUAUAAAGAUUGAGAGAGACAUAUAGAAAGAAUGAAAAAUAAAGAGAUAAUGUAUGUUAAUACAAAGGAAAUAAUUUCUUUUGAAUUUCUUUUAUAAGAUAUAUAUAUCUUAUAGUAGUUUAGUGAUUUGUAAAAGAGAAAGAAAAUUAAUUUCACCUACAAAUUUGAUCUACAAGGUUCAAGUUACAAGAAAUAAAAUAGUGGGCCAAUUAUAUAUAUAUAUNNNNNNNNNNNNNNNNNNNNNNNNNNNNNNNNNNNNNNNNNNNNNNNNNNNNNNNNNNNNNNNNNNNNNNNNNNNNNNNNNNNNNNNNNNNNNNNNNNNNUAGGGUAGUCUCAUAUUUUAAGAGAAUUGUAAUGAUUGAUGAGUCCAAAAAAAAAAACUCACUUGAAAAUAAAAUUGUUGUUGUGAUUCAUGUCUUGUUUAUCAUGGUAGUUUAGGAUUAAAAGAGGAAUCAAUAAUAAUUUAAAAGUGGAAUCAUGAAAAAAAAAUGAAGAAAAACAAAACUUAUGAGAUUGGAGAAUUGAAAUGUGUGUGAUUUCAGGUUACUUUAAUUGUAUAAUUUAUUGUUAUUAGGGAUGAUAACUAAAUGGAACUAGUGAAAGUUUAUUUUUUUAUGUUCAAAUUUAUAUUUAUUAUGAGUAUGAAAUUUAUAUCUCAACUUUAUUAGAUAAAGGGUAUAUUUAUAUCUAUAUUUGUAUUUGCCUAAUCCAUGUUGCAAAAAUCAAAAUUAAGAACUAAUGAGAAAAAUAUGAUAUUGUCAAAAUUCAAUAUAAAAAACACACAAAUCUUAUUUUCUUCAAUGUUAAAAAAAAAGUAAAAAAUUAUAAUUAUAUAAAUUUUAAGAAAGGGUAUCAAAUAAACUAAAAGUACACUGAUAUAAAAAAAAACAUAUGUACAAGACAUGAAUGAAUAUAAAUUCUCAUCCUUGUACACAAUUUAAAACAAUAGGUAUUGUUUAUACUCGUACAAAUUUGUAGUUAAUUAAAAAAUUCUUAAUCUAAACAUUAAAACAGGUUUAUACAAUACCUAUAUUUAUGAGUUUAUUUUUCAUAUCUAAUGAUUAUUGAAAAAAAUAUUUUGUUUUACUAAGUAAAUAUUGAAACUAGACGUAGUAUAUGUAGUUAUUGUGAAGUCUCUGUAAUGCAAAAAAAAAAAAAAAUUAAUUAGAAUUUUUUUAAGAAUUUAAGUUUUGAGAUUAGUCAAAUGAUAUUAAUGAUUUUACUUUGUUACUAUUAUUUAUUGAACUUAUUACAAACAAUAAAUAUUAUUGAAAAAAAUCCUCUAAAAUUGAUCACAUUAAAUUCAAUUAAAAAUCAUAAAAAAAAGAAGGAUAUGAUAUAAAUAUUUUAUUUUGAAAUUCAAGUACUUUAUAAAUAAAAAAUAAAUAUAAAAAUAAAAGAAUUAUUUAAACUUUACAUUAAUGAAGAACAAAAUAAAUUUGUAAGAAAAAAAUAGAAUAUUUUUUCUCCAUAAUUUAUUUUUAAAAAGUAAUAUAAAUAGGUAUAACUUCUUUCAUUUUCAUUUCUCAACAUGUUAGCCUUGAGAUAAUCAAAUAAUUCUCAUAUUAAUUUUAAAUUCAUAAAUCAACACAUUAAAACCAGCACCAUUGCUCUCAAUAUAUAUAAUUAGAUUCUUAUUUCUUAUGUGGUUUUAUCUUCAAUUUUCAGCUAAUCACUAUGAAAAAAAAAACUUAAUAUGAUUAAAUUAUAAAAGAUAAAAUUUUCUGUCUAGCUAUAAAAUUGUAUAUGAAAUUCAUUAUCUCUUCAUUACAUUACAUUAUAUAGGGCAUGACAUGACUCAUGCAGAAUGCCCUUUGCUUCUUCAUCUAUAUGCAGUAUAUAUGUGCUAUAAAUCAAUAUUUCUCACUCAUACUAUGAUUUUAGGAACCAUGAUUUGUAGAAGUCCAUCCCUGAAAAAUGGAGAAAGAAACAACAGAUCAUCAUCUUCAAAUGUAUAAAGGUAAACCACAUAUCUUUGAACAGGUGCAAAUCCCCACACAUCAUCGCAUACUACUAGUCCUUCGGUAAACAAACAAAAAAUAGUAAGAAAUAAACUUUAAGUCUAAGUCAACCUCAUAAAACCGGCUUAUGAGGUGAGGUUUGCACUCACUUAUAUACUUGUGGAUCUCUAACACCCGCUCAGGCCGAGAGUGACAGUUUAUGCGUGAGACAACAUAUUAUGGGUGGCUCGAUAACAAUCCGAUAGCAGAUGGCCUGAUAAGCCAAACAAACAAUCGCUAGAAUAGGUUCUAAAUGACUUUGAUACCAUAUUAAAAAAUGGACUUUAAGCCUAACUCAACUUAUGAGAUAAGGUUUGCAUCCGCUUAUAUGGAAAUCUGGAUAUUUUCUAAAUAGAUGUUAUAAAUUAUAUAGCUUCUCUGCAUUGAGUUUGAAAAACUUAUGAAUCAUAAUGCCAUGGCAGUUUUUCUGUACUUAAAAUACAAGCAUGAUCUAACUACCAAAAAAAUAUAGAAGUAAUAAUACCUUCAUUAGAGUAUCUGGUUUCAGCAAUAGUGAAUCAACCAUUUUAGCCAAGAACAUUAGGUAGGUAUUCAAUAAAUUUCUCAGUUAUUUGAUUGAAUUUCAAGGUUACAAAUUUUACUCACCACCUUGUGUUAGUAUAAGAGAUCACUUUUCACAAGCCAAAAUCUCCAAAAGAAGAUCUAGUGUGUGGGUUACCUUGGUAUUUUAUUACUACUUCUAAAUUGAGAGAAUAUUAGUAUUGAACUUUGUUAGUAAUGUAGUCACUUACUGACCCAAUAACCAAAACUAGUAAUAAUAUAAUGCAAUAGACCAAAUUAGAAGAGUUUUUAAGUUAUGAGUUAACAUUAAGAAACAUGUGCAUAAGACAGAUAUAACUUACAAAAAUUCAGCUGAUAUUCUGUCCUUGUUCACACCAGCAGGAAGCUGCCACGCCACCUCAUAUGGUCCAUAUAAUAUUUCCCUCCGAUGGUAUGAAGAAAAUGAAGUAUUUGGAGAACCUCCAAUUGUCCAAGAGCUAGCAGAGCGUCUACCUUUGACACACAACCUGUCACAAUUCACAUAUUGACUCUUUUAUCAGAAACAAAACAGCUCAUGUACUUCAAAACAUUUAUAACCAAGAAUGUCCAACAUCAAAAUUUCCAUUUAGUACUUCACUUCCAGAAUUUGUGUUCGAGAUUCCACAUCGAUUAGAGAUUAGGAUAUUCAUAGUUUAUAAGUGGGUACAAACAUCACCUUAUAAGCCGAUUUUACAAAGUUAAGCUUAAAGUCUACUUCUUAAUGUGGUAUGAAAGUCAUUUCGACGCUAUCUUAACGAGAGUUUGUUAGGUUUAUCAGGUCUUUUGUUGGAUAAGUAUCCAACAAUAUUUCAUUAAGCCUUAUCCUUUUCUUCAACAUUCCCUAUUAUUGAUUAGGCAGAACUAAAUGCUUAAUACCAUAAAUUGCACAGAGAGAUGCUUCUUACUUUCUAUCAUCAACCUCCACUCUUAUGUCACUGAUACUGACACCUGGAACUUCCACUGUGAUAACAUAUUUUCUUUCUGAUUCUGCAACAUCCAUCCUUGGAGACCACUCAAUUCCUGCACAAGUAUACUAAGAAUGAUUCUUUAGCAGUUGCAACAAGACAGCAUAAAAGAUUUACACAAAUAAAUUAUACACUUCUGUUUGUUAUAGCUAAUCAUCUAUCAUAACAUCAAACAAAUUUCUGAGUUCAAAGUGCUAACCACCAAUUUCAGAAUAGCAUGUUUUCUUUUCAGAAUGUAACUGAUCUCCUCUAAUCUUUCUGUUUGGCCUAGCAAAUGUAGGUGGUUCAAGUGUACUGAAAUCACAGCCCUGCUCCGGAGUCAUUGAUUGAACCACUGAGUUUUUUAAGAGUGAUUCUGCCAUCACAGGUCUAGCAUAACAUGGUGCUCUUGCAUUAGAAGCACAUUCAGAUGCAGCACCAGCACCCUGAUGAGUUUUAGGAGCAAAAGUUGAGCCACCCUGAAAAAAAUUUGUUUCAAAGAAGCCAGUGAGAAAUGAACACUUUACCAAAAAGAGAAGUAAAUAGAACAUUGUUAAGUAUUUCAAAAUAAUAAGAACACUUUAAGUACCUCCUCAAUUGAACUCUGCCUCAUAAAAUAACCAAGAGAAGAAGAUGCUUGGCGUGCAAAAUACACCUUAUUAUCGCAUCUCCUGGGCACAGAAUUCAGACUGCCACUGCAGUUCUGAUGGUGGGUAGUAAAAUUGAUGAAAAUGAAUUGUUAAAAUAUAUUCAAGAAAAAAAGGAUAGUAGAUACAGAUUAUUGUAUUAGACGCUGUAAACCAAAAGCUACAAAACAAAUAUAGUGGUCUGUUAAAAGAACAUAUAUAGAAGGUGUAGUGUGGCAUAUAGAAAUUCAGAAUUAAGGAAACACUUAAUGUAUCGGGUCUGUACGACACCUGGAAGUUCAGCACUUGGUUAAGAUUGACGGACACAACUAAAUUCAUUAUUUCAAAACAAAAUAUUAAUAAGACUAAUAAGUGAUCAAACAUUAAGUAAUAUACUCUUAAUCAUGAUCCAGAAUCUUAAUCUGGCCUAACAACAAAGGAUCCAUGAUAAUCAUAUAAAUCGGCACAAAUUCCAAAAAUCAGGUACGUCAUCGUUCAGUAUUAAAUAACAUCGAGUGUCGAACACAAAAAUCUCACUUGAGCUGUCUUUUGCAAGUACCUUCUGAACUUGGAGUUCACAAAGACGAGAAUAAAGAAGUGAAAGGAGAGCACAAAAACCAUUUCAAGAAAAAAGAGAAAAAAAUAGACCAACCGAUCGAGAGAGAAAACAAUCAUUCUCUUUGUUCCAACCUAUUCGACAACACUUAAGUUUCAAAAAGGGACAGAGAGGAAGAAAAGACUAAAAAUGAUUUAAUGGUGUUCAACAAAUAAAGAUUCCUAUUAGAUGGCUCUUUUCUGUUUAGGUGAGGAACAUAGUAUGUUUAAAACCCUUCCCAACUUAGCAAUAUCUAUCUCCCUUACAACUCCCAUGUGUCAUAAAAACCUUUAAAUUCCAUUACUAUCUAAGGACGCAACCACAAUAACAAGAAGAGAAAAGAGUGGAAAUGUAAAUUAUUAAAAGUGUUCUUUAAACUUAAUAUUUUAUAAAACCUGUUUAUAAGAUAGAAUCCCCUUAUAUGCUAAUCUAUCUUAUAAAAUCGGUUUAUAUUGUUUAUUUCUAAUUGAAAGAAAAAGCAGAGUAUAUUAUUACCAUUGGCAGAAGAUGGGUAGUUGAAAUAUCAUCCUUGGGAGCAAAGUGGGCUGCAAUCAUGUGAAUUCUGCGUUUCACUAACUCACUCUCCAUUUCUGCCAAUAAAAAGCUUCACAAAUAUUUGAGGUGAACAGAUAAUGCAGGAUGCAUCAGAGGAUCAAGAAUAUAUGCAGAAACAGUCACUGAUGAAUCAAAGAUAUUUUUAAGACAUCAAAAUUGGUGGGACCAUUCAAUCUAAAUAUCUUUCUGAAACUCAAGAUAAUGUCACUCAGAUUUUAUGCCCUCAAGUCCACCACGACCCAAAAUAUCACUUUGUUUCAUAGCUCAGACUGUACCAUUUUAAUUUCUUUGUAUUAUUAUUAAAGUAACACAAUUUUAGUAUAUUUUAAUUUAAAUUUUCUUAAAGUAACACGAUUUUUAAGGAUUAUGUUAAAGUAACACGAUUUUAGUAUAUUUUAAUUUAAAUUAUGUUAAAGUAACACGUUUUUAAUAUAAUUAAAUUUUAAUUAAAAUUACAUUAAAGUAACACGGUCUAUUCAUUUUAGUAAUUUUAAAAAAAAAUUAUCCAUUUCAAUAAUUAAGUGAUAAAAUUACACUAGAUUGAUAAAAAAAAUCUAAUAAUAUGAGUAAUCAGUACAGAGACACAAAAUAGCUUAAGGCUCGUGAAGACAGAAAAACUAUUAAUAAAAUAGAUAUAUAAUUAAGAAAAAAAUUAUGAUUUUUUCCUGAUUUUAGAAAUACUUUAUUAUCCAUAAUUUUAUCCAAUAUAAGAUGACAAUUAAAUAGUUAAAUGGGUUCUUGAAAGAUUAAAUACUUAAACGGGUUCUUAAAAUAUUAGUGAUUUGGCAUAUAGGUUCAUAAUUAAAACAUUUAGAUAAAUGAGUUAUUGAAACAUUUGUAUUUGCAAAUAAGUUUUAAUAUUUGUAUAUAAUUUUUUUAUGGGUAUUUGAUAUUUGGUAUGCAGACAAAAACUUUUGUUUAUAUUUGACAUGGAAGGACUUAUAUGCAAACACAUAAAUAUUUAAAAAGAUCCAUUUAUAUGAAAACUCUAACUAAGAUUGUAAUAGUCAUAACUCCCAUAUUUCUGAAGGUUUUUGUGCCACAAAAAUAGUCUAUAGAAAGAUACAUAAGAUCUAAUCUAAAACUCCAAUUCAUGUUUAAGUAAUAUGAAAGCAGAAAAUUAAGUUAUGGGGCGAUAUUGAGACUUCAUCAAAUUAGUUGAUAAAGUCUACCCCACAGAUUAAGAUUUGAAUUGUGCUUGUUUAGAAGAGUUCUCUGGUUUUCUUAAUAACUAAAAAAUAUUAACAAAUGCCCAAAGAGUUUUUAGUAAAUAUCCUUUAAAAAUGAAAAGGUUUCUGAAUAAAAGUUUCUUGUAAAUGGGCUCUUGAAUAAUCUUCAAUCAGCAUGUUCAUCUUAAUCCACAUGUAGGUACUGUGAACUGCUCUUGCACCAAUGUCCCAGCUCUGCUCCUGCUCAAAAAAAGAAAGAAAAGCCAAUGAAUCAGUAUUCUUUAGCUAGCUUGAUUCUUUGAGGAAGAUAUUCGUGUGGCUACUCAACCUGAUUAUAUUCGUAUCCAAUAGAUAAUGAUUCAUGGAAUUCGGUGGUGAUCCAUUUUUGGUGUUCUUCUGCAUAGAAAAUUGAUCAUGUGACAAUAGGAGAAUGCAAAUCACUGAGUUAUUAAUUCCACCAACUCACUAGGCUACUUUACAAAUGUCUUCGUAUUCCAUAGCUUUAAGUAUUCUGCCAUCAUAGGGUCCUUUCUCGAUCUGCACCUUAGCACAAAAAUUAUCUGUAUCCACCCCUAACAGCUUAGCAAUGGAUCCUCUAUAUGCACCGUUGACAAUUUUUACACGACCCCCAACUUGUGGAAUCACAGUUUCAAGCUCUGCCUGAUCAACUCUGAGCACGUGCUUACUUUCAAGAAUUUCUAUUUCCCCAACAUACUUGUCAAUCACCUUCCGCACAACACCCUUUUGCUUGUAGUAGCCCUUCUCUGCCAAAACUUUGCUCAUGACCUUAACAACAAUUCCCUCAUGCAACCAGUAAUCCUUCCUGUUGAUUUUUUCCUUUUUCUUCUCUUCAUCCCUCAUCAUUUCAUCCAAAGUUGAUUUUCCACCAUCCCUUUCUUUCCUCUUCAAAUUGUUUCCAGGGUUUCGUUCCCCAUAUCUCUCUUCAUCAGCCUCCUCAAACACCACCCUUGAUGCUUCCUUGGUCACAGGUGGUUUAGCAAAUGAAGACCCAAGAGAAAACCCUAUCUUAAUUCCAUCUUCCAUAUUUAGUUCUCUUGGAGGCUCAGAUUGUAAAGGCUGAUCAGCCUCAGGAGUAGGCUGCUGCAUCAUUUGUUCAGCCAUUUCAAUCUGUUUCCUGAUCUCCUUCUCUUGCUUUUCUUCAUCUACCAUAUCUGCCUUGAUUCUCUUAUUCUUCAUCCUCUCCUUGAAAAGGGUUUCUGAAUCUCUGUCUAUGUAUGUAAUGAACCAUCCCUUGGGUGUUUCCUCCACCUUACAUUUGCCAGUUCGACCCAAGUACUUGACAAAUUCAGUGAGUGUUGCCCACUGAGUGGAGUUCAUAUGAACAUGGUGUCUAUCAUUUAUGUAUUCGUUGUAAACUACAGUGGCUGCCACACGGCUGAAUCGGUGGCUGCGCUUCAUGUGCUCCAGAAAAGAGCUCUCAAACUCUUCAGAAUAGCCCUCAACUAUCCGGUGUGGGUUUUGUCCAAAAAUCUGCAUUUGACGCUGGUGCCCUUCACCCAUGCAAUGGCAUUUAAAUCCAUUCUCAUCUCGGCACUGCUUCUGGCACAUCUGGCAAUACCACCGAAGCUUCUGCAAUCCUUUUGCUUUGAUUCGAUUGGCAAUUGCUUUUGGUGUGAGAAACUCAUUUUUCCCCAUCACGAAAUCUGGAUGUAACAUUUUAGAUCAAACAACAUUAUCAGUAGUGCUACCCAGUUUCUCAUUACACAUGAAAUUUUGUUAAAUGGUGGGAGUACCCAAUAAAAACAGCAUUAGAAAACAAGAAGCAAAGUAUUUUGGGGCAAGCACCCACAUCAAAUAAUUAGAUAUAAUGACUAAUGAACAUGUUUUGAAUUUUGAUCAGAAUACAAUAAAGUUCAAGCUCGUCAUAAACCGGCAAGGAUUCCCAAAGGAAACCAUCACAAAACACCACCAAGCUCAAUUGCUUUAAUUCUCAACACUGCUAAUAAUAAAUCAAUGGCUUUCCAAACAAGCUCUGCUCAAACCUCGGUUUUAACAUUUUGGGUCAGUAUCCUAUUCUAGUUUGAUUACAUUCCGAUUAAGCCAAACACACUACGCCUUCCAAUCAAAGCAUUACCGACGAAAAAUUUAAUUCAUCCCAUACACAUACAACGAGUAUAAGAGAAAACGGACCUGAGAGUGGCAACAAUUCCGGCGGUGGCGUGAGCGGUGGUUUGCGGUGGAGACGGCAGCUACAAUUGCCGGAAACCCAAGAUUUGGGAAAUUGAGGGUCGCGAAUAGGGGGAAUAGGGAGAAGCAGAGAAGAGAAAGGGAUUGGAAAAUUUAUACCUCUAUAUGUAUAUAAAGUUAUUUUCUAUUAUAACUGUUUUGUGUAUAUAAUUUUCUUUUUAUUUUAUUACUUUAUUUUAGAUAUUUCAAUAUUUUUUAUUUUCUAAAUAUUUAAUAAAUAAUUAAUUAAAAAAAAUUAUUUUUAAUGUUAAUAUAUUUUUAUUUUAUAAAAAAUAGGUAUUAAUUUUUAAUUUUAAAUGUGAAGUAGUUUGUUAAAUUUGAAAAGAAAAAGUUUAUUAAAUGUGUAAUAGUUAAAAAAUUCAAGAGUUAGUAAUAUUUUAAUGUUAGAUUUUUAAAAGAAAGUUUAUAAAUAUAUAUUACAAAUUCAUUUUUAAAAAAAUUCUAAUUUUUUUUAUAAAUUAUUUUCUUUCUAUAUUUUCUCUAAAAAGUAAGAUUUUGAUUGACAAAUCUUUUUCAUCUUUAAAAUAAAUGCUAGUGAUAUUAAAAUCAUACUUUUAAAACUUUUCAUCUUUAAAAAUGUGAAAAUUAUUUGUUAAUCAAUAUAAAUAUAUAUAUAUAUAAGAUAUUUUAAAAUUCACAUUUCAGAUGUUCUAUUUUUUAUAAUAUAACCACUGGUGACUAUAUAUGAAGAUCAUAUAUAUUUUAGUGUACAAAAGUUGCAUUUCAAUUUUAUAAAACUAUCAUUAUCGAGUCUUUUAUUUAUAUCUUAUUUUCUUUUAGUCUUUGUUCUUUGUCUUAUAUAUUGUUUUUAAAUGAACACAAAACAUAUUUUAGCCAUAAAAAUAAUAACAUCGUUAGAAUAAUUUUUAUAAAAGGGUACAAAACUAAAACAACUCACAAAAGUAAAUUUAAUUUAGAUUUAAUUACUUAAAAGAGAAGAUCAAAUUACGUGUUAUCUUUGUAUUUAAUUUGAAAAAAGAAAAGAAAAAACAAACUAACCAUUGGUUUAAAAACUAUCAUUUGUAUUCCUAGAAAGACUAUCAUUUCCAACGGAUAAAAGCAUAAAGAUGUGUUUAGUAAAGUAAAAAGAAAGAAAAACUAGAUAAAAAUAAAGAUUGGUUGAUUAAAAUAUAUAUAUAUAUAUAUAUAUAUAUAUAUUAGAAAAUGGAAACAAAUUAUUUUUAUAGAAAACAAAAAUAUUAAGAAAUCUUGUUUUCAAAAAUAUAUUAUUUAUUUUUUUCAUUAGUCAUAAUACAUUAGAAAUGAACACUGGAAUGGUAGACAAAAAUAAAGAAGUGAAGGACAAAUGGGUUUGGCUUGCAUUGAUAUUGAGGCUAAUUCUCUCUGCAAGAUCAAUUGUGAUCGGUACCAAAUGUCUAUUUUAUCCUUAAUCUUCAAGAUACAUAUAAAGAAAAUGUCUAUUAACAUUUUACCAAUAUAACAGUUUUAGAUAUUCAAAUUCAAAACUGAAAUAUGUCUUUGGGAUUUAAAAAAAAAUGAUAAUGCAGAUAGCAAUUCAUCUGGUGUAGGGAGAAUUAGCCUGAUAUUGAACCCAUAAUCAGCCUUCUGUUUCUGUUUAAGAUCAUUCAAACACUCAUCAAAUAUGUUCUGCAUCUAACCAUUUUUUUCAGUUUAAAUAAGAGCAGAAAAAUAAAUAAAAAAUUGAUGCAGAAGCAUUACCAAUGUCAUAUCAUGUAAUAAUAUAACCCAAAUGGCAGAAGGGGGUUCCUGUCCUACGUGAUCCGGCAUUGUUUUCCCCUGAAAAUCUACACGGGGACUUGUAUGGUCCAAUGCUUAGAUUUUAGUAGAAUAAUGUUUUCCUCAAAACAUAAACUGUUUCUAAGAUUACACAUCCUCAUCAAGACAAACAAAAAAUCCCUAACAAGAGAGUGAUUCAAGGUUGUACAAGCAACAAUCAGUUCCUAAGUUUAAGCUGCAUAUUGAAUUGCGCGCAACAUGUCCAGAGUCCAUAUCUUGGUUCAGAUUAGCAGUGAGAAACCUGCCAUAAUUAUUUCAAGUUAUAUAUUCAGUCCAACUUUACAUAACCACAUAAGUCACAAGAAAAAUAAUAUACUACCAAGAUGCUGAAUGAAUAAUCCAAUGUCUCAAUCAAGUGCAAUAAAUAUAACUUUCCAACAAUGCCAAAGGUUAAAAGAUUUCAGUGAGAAAGGCUAUACAGGAGAUGAUGGAGAAAAGCAAUAUAAAUCCGUUGAUGAGAAUCUUGCGAAAUUAUACCAUGUCAAGUUUAAUAUGGACAGCGAAAGAUGAAGAUCAAGUUGUUGAAUUAGACAGGGUUGGGACACAAACAGAGAGAGCACUGACACAAUAACCACAAAAAAACAGCAGAAUACCAAAGAUAAUUCAUCACCAAAUAUUUUUAACUAUGGACUACUAACACGUAAAAUGCUGUGUACAACUGACAUGUGAGAUUAUGUGCCAAAUAUGGAAUCCGUAUAAACAUUACGAACAUAUCAAUCAUAUCAGAUUACUGAACAUAUUAUGCAUAGUACUCCAAUAUUCUAUACAGAAACAUGGCACCACCAUGUAUAUUAUAAAAAUACAAGGGCUACACUGGUUAUUUAAACACGAAUCCUGUUGCUUAGUUCUUUCAUUUUCCUCCCUAUUUAUCAUAUAGAGAUGAAAAAUAAAUCAAUAAAAUAACUUCACUCCUGUUUUACUGAGAUAAAUCAGUAUCAUAUAGCUGGCGUGUGUUGACUCACAAUUUAGUGGCAAAUAGUCAAGCUCGACACCUGGGCUUGACCCAAAAGGCACAUUUUGUUUUAAUUAUUGUUCAAAAAAAUUAUAUUUACUAAUCGAGUACUUUGUUAUCCUACUCAGUCAUCCUUCAUAUCACUGUGUUAAGAAAUGUGAGAUUUUGUUGUUUUAUAUUAAUCACAAUAUCAUUUUAUCUUAAUCACAAAAUCUCAUAAUUCUUAACAAGUGAAAACAACUUAGUAAGAUGACAUUGUAGAUAACAACAAAGUUACUUAGUUAACACAAAAAGUAAAUAUACAAAAAAAAUAAUGAAACUCAAUUAAAAAUACCCAAAUUUAUAAAGAAUUUGAAAUUUAAUUAAGCAUUUAAAAAUUAGACGAUAUGAUCAAAUUAAAUUAAAUUUGGUUGAAUUUGUUUAGUUUGGGUAAUUUAAAUUUUAAACAAACUAGCAUUUUGAUUUAUCUAGGCUUUAAUUUUUCACAUCAUCUGAUUUGCCAACACUAUGGCCUCAGCUAUUUAUAGUUGUAUCAUCUCCUCAACAAUAAAAAUGGGUAUAAUUUUGAAAGAAGUGUUUUAUUCUUAAAAUGCACCAUAUGCAUAAAAUAGUAAGAACCUGUUCCUUUUUCAUGAAUCAGACACUUCCUACCUUACCCGUUAAUGAUACCACCGCAGAUAAGUAGCAUAGAUAAAAGAAAAGAAUUCCAUGAUGCAAAGAACAAUUAAAAUGUACCAAAGCACAAUUUGGAUAAAAACAACAAAAUUUGUGAAGAUACUUUAAUCUAGCAUUCUGGUUUUCUUUAUAAGUAUUCAAAUGACAAGAUUACACAUUGUUGAAACUCAUCAGCAUAUCUAAAGGAUUGUUUGUUUUCUCUUGUAGUUUUAUUUAAAAAGGUAUUUAGAAUGAUCUAAAUAAAGUGUCUAUAAACUACUAUCCUUCAUUCUCUGUUUUUAAACAAUAUAGAUAUAGACUUCUAGUGUAUAUGAUGUGUAGAUUUUUUACUUAUUUCAAAAUAACAGCUAAAUUCACUGAUAAAAAAGAAUUUAACAUAUUAAGUUGUAUCUUUAUUCAAAUCCCUACAAAACCCCAUAUGAAACUAAAUUACAAAAUACAUAGAGCCAACCUAAACAAAAUAAUCCACAAUUCCCCUAACCUGAAAGCACUUAAAUAAAUAGCUGCUUUUCUGAUUUAGGUAAGCCUACUAUUCCUUGCCAACUAAAUCACCAACUUGAAAAGCCAAUGGAAGAGAUCCUCCUAUCCCACCUAGCAACUUUUACCUUUCACAUGAAUCCCAUCAGAUCCACUCAACACUGACAAGAACUCCAAAAAAAAACCUAGCAUGUACUUAUGAACAUGAUGAAACUGAAAAAGUUGGUAUAGUAGUCAGGAAUUAGACUGUUAUAACUGCAAGCACAAGAAUGCUCGCAUCUUCACAGACCUGUGCCAUGCAUUUCAGAUACGACCCUUCUUAAAUCAAAACAUCAUGCUUUCUCCCCAACACAAACCAAAUAAAGCAUGCAUAAAUUCACUACCCUAAACUCAAAAAAGUUGGCUGGAUUUUCUCCAGCGGAAAUAGGAACCCAAGGCACAGUCGCAUCCCUCAUAAUGCAAGAAAUUGAGUACUUCAGCAGGAUUGAUUCAAAUUCACAAAGGAGCAAGUCUCAAAUCACAGAGGUGGGUUCCUCCAAUAGUAGUACAAGUUCUAAGAACGACAAUUGUAUCUAUGGUAGAAGAAAGUACAAAGAAAAGGUGAGUGAGUAGCAGUGCAGGCUUUUACCAAGUGUGUGCUCUAUGGUUGAUGUAUCAGACAAUGGUAGGCCAAAUGGGACCUCAGCUUUCAGUUACAGGAAUCUGAAGUCGGACACGAAAAAGUUACAGGUCUAGAUUAUGCUCUCGGAAAGUUUUGAAAAACCAAGCUUCUUAAGACGACUUGCUAAAGUUGUAGCCCAAGCCUUUUCUACAUUCCCUCAUUUUAUGUCCACAACUUCAACAAUGUUAGGUAUCUUUUUAUCAUUUUUCUCCCUCACUGGAGUUCUACCCACUGAACAAUUAUCAGAACCUAGCAUGGGUAUUGACUGAGUAAUUUGCUUGGUUAGAGUGGGCAAAUAGCAGUUAGUAAUUUGUAGUGAAGUUACCCUUCUUCACAUAAUUCGAUGACUUCCAGACAUUAAAUAACAACAAAAUACUAACAAAGUCAGCUUCGAAUCUAUCUGGCCACCAAUAACACAUACAAUUUACAUACACCUUCUUCUAUUAAAAUAGUGUAUCCAAAAGGUAAAUUCAAAAAUCGUUUAUGGUAGACAACAUGCUGUUCUUUACUCUGCAACUCAUUGGUCACAACACAAAAAUAUCGAUAGACAAUUCAAUUGAAUUCAAAAACUUCAUAACAUGUUGAUGUUAAAUUUUGCUUCACUUCCAAAAGCAAAUUUGAGUUGGGAUUACGAAUAGCUCAAAAUUCCUUUACCAAAAAAAGUAAUAUGAUCCGCUAAUUACAACAGUACCAAGGAUCACGACUGCAACCCCGUUUUAAAACCUUGAUGUAGAAAAUUUUAAACUAGAUCUUACAUCAAACUUACUAUGGGAGUAAACUCGACCAAACAUAAAUCAAUUCACGGUAAAUUUCACAAACAGACGCACUCAGUCUUACAAAAAUCUAAAAGACAGGAAUGAGAAAGACAUCAGAUACAACCUACCAAUCCAUUCUCCCAUUACUGUUGUUGUUGAUUUUGAGGGUUUGGGGGAGGAGGCAUGCCAGGUCGAGGAGGACCAAACACCGGAACACCGCUGCCAGGUGGUGGCGGCAUGCCGGGGCGAGGAGGAGGAGGCGCAGGCAUCCCGGGGCGAGGCGGAGCAGGAGGUCCUCUCACCAUCUGUCCUGGAGGGGGAGGUCCCAUGGGGCGCUGUCCAAACUGCGGGGGUGGAACGGAGAACUGAGGCGGAGCGCCACCAGGUCUAGGAGGAGCAAAUUGCCCGGGUGGCAUAGGAGGAGGGGGUCCCCUACCCAUGGGGGGAGGAGCGAAUUGGCCUGGCAUCUGCCCCGGAGGGCGCAUCACCGGCGGACCUCCAGGAUACGACACCGGCGGCGCAUUGAGCUGCGGUGGGCGCGAGAUCUGCGGCUGCAUCAUGCCCGGUGCAGGGCCACCAACGCCGCGAACUGGGCCGGCGAGACCAGGCUGGGCCUGGAUAACGGGGGCAGGAGGAAUGCCUCUUCCGGCAGCACGACCGAUUCCGGGGCCAGCGAGCGCGGCGGCACUGACGGCCUUGGAGCGGGACUCUUCCGGCGGAGGCGGGCCCUCAACGGUCAUAGAAAUGACUUCCUCCCCGCGGAGGAGGACAAGACCGAGCGUGCGGCGGUCCUCACGGUCGCCGCCGUCUGCGGGCUUCUUGCCCUUAGCCGGAGGAAGCUUGCGGAACUCCUCGCAGUCACCGAGAACGAGGUUCAUGUGGCGGUCGAACGCCAUGAACUUUCCGACAAGCUGGCGUCCGUCCUGAAUGGUGACGCGCAUUCGGUAGUUGAUGUACUGGAGCAUUUUGGAACUCUUAGACAUCGACAUUUUGGAAGAACACAAAUUUUGCUCGCAGUUUCUUCACUGAGAGUGUUCUAGGGUUUAACAAGAAUUGGGACUUCACAGAGAGGGAAACGUUCUAAAACACUACCAAUAUCCCUUUUCUUUAACACUACCAAACUCAAUCAAAUGGAUCCAGGCCCAAGCCCAGAACCCAAAAGCCUUUUUUUUUAAAAAAAAUAUCGCGUAACGUAGUUUGGGAAAUUGAAUAUUAUAAUUCACAGACCAAAACAUAUUAUUGUAAAUUUAAUGUAACCAAAAAUAUCUAUUAGACUUUAAUCUUACCUGUGAUAAAGAAAAAAAAUCUAGAUUCAAAAUAGUUUGAGAAAAAUAAGAAAAAGUUUAUCAGAAAAUUACUUAAAGAAAUUAUGAGACUUCAAAAAUAAAUAACUAAAUAUUGAAAAUUAAAAUUUGUAUACUUAACAUAAACUAUAAUUUUAACUGUUGUUUUAAAACAAAAAACAUAUCUAUUAAACUAAAAUUAGGUUUUGCAAAUUUAUAUUUGUAGCACCGGAUAUUAUGAUGGAUGACGAAAAUAUUUUAAAAAAAUAUAGAAGUUGUUAUUAUAAUCUAUUAUAAAAAAAUAUAAAAAAUAAUAAUUUACUAUAUUAAAUUUGGGAUUUGUAAGGAAGGUGUUAACAUAAAAAAAAUAAAAUUUACAAAAGGAAAGAUUUUAAUUAUCAAAUGAAUACGAGGUUUAACAUGAUAAUUCUCAAAAUUUGGAAAAUAAAAACUUAAUUAACAAUGGUGACUAUAAUUAAUAAUUUUAAAAAUUGUAUACACAAAAUUUUUAAUUAUAAAGUGAAUCUGACUCGACAUAAUAAUUAAUAAUUAAUAUUUUUUUAAUUUACUUUUCACAAAUAAUUCAUAAUAAAGCUUAAAGUUGAAGUAACAAUUUCUAAGAAAAAACAAGAAUGAAUUACUUGAAAUUCAAGCAUACAUUUUGUAUAACAAAGAGAAAAAUGGGCCUUUAUUUUUCUAAGAAGAAGGACCCAUGUCCCUUUUAACCAAGACAAAUGGAUUCCUCCUUAUUAGACAACAACAACUAAUUUCCAAGAAUUAAGAAAUUUUUAGCACAUUUGUUUCCAAAAUAUAUCAUGCAUAUAAUAAAUUUCAUAGACAAAUUCUCCUUCCACCUACAUGUCUUUCAUGCACCUUAAUAUUAUUCGUUAAAAGUGAGUUUUAAUUUUUUUUUAAAUUUUAAAUAAUUUUAAAUGAAGUAUAAUCUCACUCGUUUACCUCAGUUACAACUGUGCAUCUCAUACUUCUUUUCUAGCCGCAUAUACUUCUAUUGUUACCAGUCACAAUGUUUGAGAAGAUAGUUUCAUUAUUUGAACAUGUGUGAAAGAGUUAACGAGAAAAUUUGUUGUGUUUAACAUUAUUCAUUGUGAAAAUAGUUUGUUUUUUAAUUUUGUACUCCAUUUUUGUGCCUUGUUAAUUAUUUUUUCUGAGUUUUAUAACUUCAAAAAAAAUAAAGAAAACAUAAUCAUCACUAGUAAAAAUAUUACAAAACUUACCACAAUCACCAACCAACGUUCACCACAAACAACUACAUCACAUCCUUUAUUCAAUAUUAAAAAUAAUAUGCAUGAACAAUUUGCCUAAUAAAUAAAUAGCAUGCAGUUAAAUUGGAUGGAGAAAAAGUUAUUAUCAUCUAUUUAAUGUUAUUUUUUAUUAAUUAAGCAAUUUUUUUUAAUGACCGUGUUGGCAGUAUAGUUUUUUAUUUUAAAUUCAUAUUAAUUGAAAUUCAUCUUGACCUAAUCACCACCCCACUCACAUUAUUUUAUCAAGAAAAUGACGAUGAUUAAUUUUAAAAAGUUAAGAAGAAAUAAAAAAAAAAAAAAUUUAAAGAAAUAACAAGAUUUAAGAAUUGAAUUAUGUUACAUGUUAAAUACAACUCACAUGAGAAUACAUUACAAACUCUAUAAAUAAAUAUGUUACGAGAGAAUACAUUACAAACUCUAUAAAUAAAUAUGUUGUACAGUAAUAAGAUAUGUUUUUAUCAAUAUAUUAAUUAUACUCGAAUACUUAAUCCAUACUUAAUCCUUAAUUGUUGGAUAAUCUUUUAUAAAAAUAGUUCUAACUGAUAAUUCAAGAUCAUACAUGAAAAAAAAAAAAACAUGAACACUAUAUAUAAAAAAAAAAGGAAAACACCAACUAAGAGAAAAAUCAACUCUCUAUAGAUACUAUUUAAACAUUAUACAAGUAAAAAAUAAAAUAAUUAAAUAGUUAAAAUUGUAAUUUACAUUACUUAACAUAAAAUAUGAUUUUAAAAACCAUAUAUACCAAACUAAAAUAAGGUCUCACAAUUUAUAGUUUUUUAAUUUAAGAUCUCACCAUGUCAUAUUACCAACAUGUGUUUAGUAUGAUUUCUUUUACUCGACACAACAUGUGUUUUAUAUUUGACAUAUUUCUCAAUAUAAUCAUAUUUUCUUUGGGUAGGAAAUUUAUAAUUUUCAAUCAAAUGAAAUACAUUAAUUAAAUUUGAAUUGUUUUUAUUUUUGAAAUGUUUUAUUAUUAAAUGUUGGAGAUCCCACGUCGACUAGAAAUUAGAGCCUUUCAUUGUAUAUAAGUGGGGGCAAACCUCAACCCUAUGAGUCGGUUUUAUGGGUUGAGUUAGGCUUAAAGUCCAUUUCAUAUAUCAGAGUCAUUUCGAGUCUAUCCUAGCGAAUGUUUGUGUUGAGUUUAUCGUGUCACCCGCUAUCGGACCGUUAUCGGACCAUCCAUAAUAUAUAUUUCCACGCACGAGUUGGUAGUAUCAGCGUGAGGAGGGUGUGUUAGGCUUAAAGUCCAGUUCGUAAUAUUAAAUUAUUGAACAAAUUUGAAAUUAUUUUCUUCUAUUUUUUCUAACUUGCUGUUUCCUUCGUCCAAGUGAUUGCAUUCUCGUAUUCAUCAUUCCUGAAAUCGAAACGUAUGUGAAGAGUGUGACAUUAUUGUACUUAUAUAUAAGUUUUGUACGAUGUAUUAACCUACUGUUUCAUUACAAUCUGACACGUGGACCCUUCUCCACCGUUUUAACUCAAUAAAAUCCACGUGUUUACUUCUUCUUCUCUGUCACAUGCAUAAACUACAACAACAACAUGGAACAUGCUAACUACGAAUUUUUUCUUUUUUUACUCAAAUUCUGUUCACAAUUUUUACUCAAAUAAUCUAACCUUAAUUUUCAGAAAUUAACUAUUCACACAACUAUUAUUCUUCUACAAAUUAAAAUAACCAACUUAAAAGUGCUUAUAAAUAAUUCGUUUUAUGUAUUAUAGAUUAAAAUACAUAAAUUAAAGUACAAGAUUCCCACUUUCUCCUAUUUUAUCAAUUAUUAUUUUUAAUAAUUUAUCUUAUUUUUUUUAUUAUAAAAAUUUUCAUGUUAAGCAUCUUUUGUUAACUAAAGUUACAUUUUACAUAAAAGAUGAUUUUUUUCUCCUAGUAACCAUAUACAAGCAUUCCAUAUCUAUUAUUUAUUAAAAAAAUCCACAUUUAUUUUUAUAGAUAUAUUUAAUAUUUUUAGCUUCUCAUUUUUAUUUUAUCUCUAAAUUAAAUUUUAAAGAUUUUCUAAUCGUUAGAAAUGAUCUUAUAUCAAAACGUUAAUUAUAUUAUAAACCUAAAAUGUAACCAACAUAUUAAAAAAUAUCUACAGUAUAAAUUUACACAUUCUAAAAGAUUUUUUGUUUUUUUUUAAUUAUGAUGAAUUUGAAAUUUUGUUAUCUAAAAAUAUAUUCAUUCUAUACAAAUUUUGUCAUUAAAAAAAAUCUUCAAAUAUUAAUUAUAAAUUACAAAAACACACAAUCAUUCUUUCCACUUUAUCAAUUAGACUUUCUGAUAGUAUAUAUUUUCUCUGAAAUUUAUUAUAUAUCUUAUAGUUAUUUUAUUUAUCAUCUUGUUUAUUAUAUAUAUACUUGAAAAGUUGAUUUUUUCACAGUUUUACUAUAGCAGUGAGCAACGAAACAAAGGCUUUAGAAAAGGGAAAAAAACCAGCAAAGUGACUGCAUCUUUCGUCCUCUUCUACUGCUUUACCAAACCCCAUUGUUGAGUCUUUACCAUCUUUCCAAGACCAGAUCCCAAGUUGUCUUACCCUUAAAAAGUUUAUAAUAUUUUCUAGACUUAAAUAGUUCCUUAUCAUUAGCAAAGUUCUAUGAUUCUGCUACAUUAACUUUGAGUUAAAGAGCCAAAUCAUAGAGACAUUCUCAGAUCACAUAAUAAUUAUAGUGCUCAGUCCGUGAGAUUUCAUUUCACGGCUCUGACACUGAGACUGACACACUCGCACGGGAUCCCUAUUUUCUAUUCUCCUUUUUCUGAUUUUCCCCUUCAUUUAUUAGCUACCCAUUAAAGUUUUGAUCGGAAAGUUUAGUUUUUUAUAUUCUUUUUUAUUGUUUUUCGCCGUUUCAUCAGUGAUCACACAUGAUUUCCACCGUGAUCCAGCCCGCCAUAUCGAUCGGAGCCUCUGAUGUUUUGCUACGGCAAAAGGGUCCAGCUUUAACCUCUGGGCACUCAUGUUCCCUUGUUGUCCCUGCUUCCCACCCAAGGGAGAAGACUCUGAGAUCUCUGUUUUCAGUGCAAAAGCCACUUCACCUUUCAUGUGUUGGUUUGGGGAAUUUUGUUGGGUCUCCGGUGAGGCGUGAACGUGGUGAUCUGGGGACAUGUAGGGCGUAUGAGGCUGAGAGGCCAGAGGUGGAAGGGGCUGGGGAUCCAUCAGAGGCUGCUAAGAAGGUGAAAAUUGGUAUAUACUUUGCAACCUGGUGGGCUCUGAAUGUGGUGUUCAACAUCUAUAACAAGAAGGUGCUGAAUGCGUACCCCUACCCUUGGCUUACCUCAACUCUCUCCCUUGCAUGUGGGUCUCUCAUGAUGUUGAUCUCCUGGGCCACCAGGAUAGCCGAGCCUCCUAAGACUGAUCUUGAGUUCUGGAAGACUUUGUUCCCUGUAAGUUAGUGACUUUUGGUUCCAUCCUUAGAAAAAAGGUUUAUGAAAGAAUGUGAAAGCAUGUUUUUGUUUGUUCACGUGUUGUAUAUGUAACCCGGGUUUUAAAUUGUGCUCAUUGCCACGGUUUUGUUGUGAUUCUGGAUACUGUGGGAAAUUGUGAAGAAAUGUGAUUGAUAGGGCCACAUCCAUGGUUUGGUCAUAGAGUUCCUAGAAAGCUUGAUGUUUUGUGAAAUCACUUUUUAAAUAUGGAAUUUUAUUCCAUCCAUUGAUGUAUAUUGUUUGAUGAUUUCAUGAAAAAAAGAACAAAGUUAAUUCAUUUAAACUGUGUUGAAUUGGGAGGAGCUUUAUUAGUGUUUUUUUUUUCAAUGAUGAAAAAUGAUGUUUUGAAAGCGGAAAAUUCACUCUUUUUUUUAUUCAAAUGAGAACUUGCAUGGUUGGCCUUUUCUCUCUAAUUAUUAAUAUCUGGAAGUAGACAGAAGUGCUUAGUGUUUGAUGUUUUUCCUUCAGGUUGCUGUUGCACAUACAAUAGGACAUGUAGCGGCAACUGUUAGCAUGUCAAAAGUUGCAGUAUCCUUCACCCAUAUCAUAAAGAGUGGUGAACCUGCUUUCAGUGUUCUUGUUUCCAGAUUUCUUCUGGGUGAGACCUUCCCGGUGCCAGUCUAUCUGUCUUUACUUCCAAUCAUCGGUGGAUGUGCACUUGCUGCUGUUACUGAGCUCAACUUCAACAUGAUUGGUAAAGAAGCUGCUUUUCUGUUAAAAGAACGUUUUCUCAAUUACAUUCUGUUGCAUUUUUGUAUUUUGUUGUGGAGCAUAGUGUAGAAGUUGGAUAUGCUAUAAUAAAUUGACUUGCGCUUAAAUUUGACCUGUGAGAAGAUAGUUUGAUCCAAAGUAUUGGUUAAGGCAAGAACAGAGUCCCCAUCUCCCCCUACUCAAGUAAAAUGUUUAUUACUUAACUCCUGUUUGUUUAUUUAAUUAUUGUGUGUUAAUGCUUGUGUUGAGACAUCAAUGGAAAGGAUGGUUUACUGCUAUAUAGUAUACAUAGUUACCAGAUGUUAUGAUAGAAUAUAUUUCUGAUAUUUGUUUGCAAUUGAGUCUUUUCAUCCAUCUUGAUUUUGAUUUCAUAACUGCUUUAUUAUAUUUUCAGGUUUUAUGGGAGCUAUGAUAUCGAAUUUGGCAUUCGUGUUCCGUAAUAUCUUUUCAAAGAAGGGCAUGAAGGGAAAGGCUGUUAGUGGAAUGAAUUACUAUGCAUGUUUAUCUAUAUUGUCUCUUGUAAUUCUCACACCUUUUGCAAUUGCUGUGGAGGGACCACAGAUGUGGGCAGCAGGAUGGCAAACAGCACUCUCUCAAAUUGGACCUCAAUUUAUAUGGUAACUAUAAGAUGUUUACUUAUCUGAUGUUAUCAUUGCUGCGUUUUCAUAAAUGUUAUAUUUUGAAAUUGUCAUAAACUCAUAAUAUUUUUACGUCUUUAUUUAGUGUUCUUUUCAGAAAUUCGAAUUUAUUUGAUGGUAGGCUAAUUAUGAGUUAUUUUUUUUAAAACGUGUAUAUGAUAUAAUGUUUGUUUGUUUUAUGGAGUUGCUAUGUAGUUGUUGGAAAAUAGCAUUUUGUAUGAAUUUAAUGGUUAUGUACUAUCAAAAUGAAUUUUACAUCGUUGAUCAAUCAGAUAUAACUAUUGUUAUUUAUGGCUAUUAAGGUAGUAAUUGUGAAAGUAAACAAACAUAUCAUAUAUGCUGGUUUUAUAUUGGAUGAUGUGCAUAGCUUAUUCUCUCUGUUAGUGAGAGGGCUAUUUUUAGUAGAGUGAGGAGCAAAUGUUGACCUAAUAACUUUACCUUUUUGUUUACUUUGAGAAAGGAGAACAUUUACUCAGUAACCAUUUGGUCCUAAAUUGAUGGUUAAUAUCUUUUGUUUAAUUAUAAAUUUGAUGUGAUUUUUCCCUUUAUAAUUACAGAUCAAAUGGGAUUUGUGAUUAAAUACACAAUUUUAACAGUUAACUUUAAUCUAGUAGUCGUGAUUUAGAUGUUUACAUUUAUGAAAAUAAUUAAGAGUUCUCAUUUUAUACACUCCACUCACACAUAUCAUAUGCCCUUUGUGAUGUUUUAUGUGAAACCUGAUUUACGUGUUUGGGUUUUCAAGCAGAAAUUUGACUAGAGUUCUUUUAUUUUUAUUUUGAGUUAUCCAUUAUUCUUGUUCUUUCUUUCUUUCACAUGUGGUCCUUAAAAGCUUCUGUGCUUCUUCUGUCUUAUGAUUGUUUAUGGGUGUUACCUGUGCACAACAGGUGGGUGGCAGCUCAGAGUAUAUUUUAUCACCUGUAUAAUCAGGUGUCAUACAUGUCUCUGGAUCAGAUCUCUCCUUUGACAUUUAGCAUUGGAAACACCAUGAAACGUAUAUCUGUUAUAGUUUCUUCAAUUAUCAUCUUCCACACACCAGUUCAGCCGGUUAAUGCUCUUGGAGCUGCUAUUGCCAUCCUCGGAACCUUCUUGUAUUCUCAGGUAGUAUCUAGAUGAGAUUUUUGCAUAGUGAUAUUUGAUCUCAGGUUGUAAUGUCGCUGGUUGAGUGAUAAGAAGCUUGUGUUGAGAUUAUUUAUAUAAGCGUUGAAGCACCCCUGAAAUGCCUCAUUUUAUUUUAUUUAUUUAUUGAUGAUAAAAAAAAUAGUGAUAUUUAAUCUGUUGAUUAUUAUGCCCCUUGGCCAUAUCAUGUGCUUAAUGAAACAUAGACAUGCUCUCAGUGUUAUCCAUUAGUAGUUUGAGCCUUGGAGGAUCCUUUUCAAAGGUUGUACUAGGGUGGAUUUGGAGGGUAACUUCAGUCGUGUCAUAGAUUGUGUUGUUGGAGGAUGGGUGAUUAGGUGGACUAACUUCAAGGUGGAGGAACCUACAUUGUCUAGAGUGCAAACAAUUUGAUAUUGAGUACACAUGAAGGAAAAAAUUGAGAUUUAAAGUCACAAGAGGUCAAAGUUGAGUGCCAAUUUAUCUUGGUGUGUGUCUAUACUUUCCAUCUAGUGGAGAGAUUUUCUAAAUAUUAGGAAUCCAAGUAUGAGUUUGAAUUCCACAUUAAGUAUAAAUGAACAAGUUGAGCAACAUACAAGAAAAAGAACCACAAACCUAUUGUGUUAAGGUUUUGGGUUGAAGAUGGUAUCAUGAUCUCUUAUAUGUGUUUAUUCAUUCAUGCUAUUGGUUUGAAUCCAUGCAUCACUUUUUUUUCACACCAUAUUCUGAUAGGCUCAUACCCUUUUUGUAUUAUACUGGCUGACUUUGUGAUAUCUUAUGUGGUUGUUUCUUUUGAAAAUAACAAUUUUAGUUUCAAGUAUACAUACGUAAUCUCUCAUUCUACUCAUUUUUUGCAGGCAAAGCAGUAGGGUGGAGGAGUUAAGAAUAAUCCCCUGUGGUCAUACAAGGUCACUGAUAAGGAAGUCCGUUUUGGAAUGUGGUUAGCAGGAUUUUGGUAAAGUCUGGAUGAUCCAGCUGUUUUGUCUAUUUGUUUAUAAAAGUAAUAGUCAAUAAUGAUGAAACUGCUGAGGAACAUUCUCAUUAGAGAUUAUUAGGUUUUUUACUCCUUCUCUGCUUCUGAAUUAUCAUCAAGUCUGAGGAAUAAAUGUGUGUAUUUGUUUAGUCUGAGAUAAUUUCUCAAAACAUGGUAUAUUAUAAUAAGGUGAUAAUGAUAAUCUGAAAUCUGUUUCAUGCUCCUUAUGGUUCACAUAAGGUAUUCUCUUAUGUUGGCACUAAUGAACAUAACAAGUUUUUUUAAUUCUUACAAUUCUCUUGCAGUAAGAGUUAAAAAUAACGGAAAAAGGGAUACAAAUGGUUGCAGAGAUUUAAAUGAAUUGAUUUAUAAAAGCUAAAAUCAAAAGCUCAUUUGAAAAAUCACAACUAAUUCUUUCUUUUUGGUGUAUAUAUAAAAUGGACAUUUGUUGAAGCAAUAAGCAGAUAAGAGAAAAUAGAACAAAAUAGAAUAUAGAACAAAAUAGAAUAAUAACAUCGAGAAUUCGAUUAUUUUUAUUUUUAACGUGAGAAAACUUUCUUUAACUUUUAUAACCGUUUCUGGUGUGGCUGAAAUCAAGUUUCUACUGUCAGAACUUGGUGCAAAAAUGGUAGAAAUCAUUAGAUUUUGUAUCUUGAUAGCAGGUGAACAUAAUAGCAGCAAAAAUAUCAGUUUUUUUCUGUGUGUGGAUACCAAGUAUCUAUUAUUUCACACAUUCAAGUGAUUAUGUUUACAUGCACCAUGAGAAGCAGAGAGUGAAGGUAUAGAAAAAGGAACAUAGAAAUGUUAAGAAUUAGAUGAGAAAGCCAAAGCAGUGUGAUGGUAAAACAGCUACAUGCUACUCUACCAUUGAUAUGAAGGAAAAGUGAGUUCCACAAGUCACUGCAUUGGAACUUUACCGUCCAAUAACAUCCUGAAUUUGAUAUUAAUGUCACUGUGCAAAGUGUUGUUUGAGUAUGAAUAAACUGUUGAACAGUGUAGAAGAGCAGAAGGAGGAAGCAGCAAUGAGAAACUAGAUGGGCCUAAUGAGAUAAUAGAAGAGAAUUUUGGUCAAAAUGUGUUUUUCAAUGGCUGCUUGUGGAUGACAUUUAAGAGGCUAAUGAAGCCCAAGA